UUUUUUUUUUUUUUUUUUUUUUUUUUUUUUUUUUUUUUUUGGGUUUGAGAAACAACAUGGUUGAGGGUUUGCCAUUUAUUUUUAAUGUUAAAGUUUGGGGCUUUACUCUUUUAUUGUAGUUUGGUGUUUAAAACUAACUAAAAGUGUAUUAAGGCAUAUAGUGUUUGAAGAAACAAAAAAUGAAAGUUAUAAAAUACUUUUCUAGUGCUUUCUAGAGGAAGUAUAUGUUGAAUACGUUUCGAUGAAGAACUAAGAAUUUUAAUGAUGAUUGUGUUGCAUCUCAUAAAACUAUUUUCAACAAAAACAUUUAUGAAAGAGUCAUUCUUCUGUACAACCACUCCUUUAUUGUCAUUCCUAAUAUUUCACAAAGUACUCUUAAUUUCCUUUUUAUGAAUGAAGCUGAAGGAGGUAACUUUUAAACUUGAGAUAUUUCUUAACAUUGGGAAGAAAAAUACUAUUUUGCUACAACUGUUACGUGGUUACGUGUCGUGAGUGAGGUGCGUCUUUGUUCUGUGUUUGUUUCUGAAACCAUCAUAAAAGUAAAAAAAAAAAAAAAAAAAAAAAAAAAAAGACACAUUAGGGCCCACAAUUUGGACUAGUCAAAACAUUGGGCAAAAUGCACAUUUGUCUUGGGCAGGCAUCUGAGGGCUUCUAGUGUCACUUCUUGAUCCCGAGAUACGUCUAGAAUCAAAGGAAUACAAAUUAGCAAUAAAGGGUAUAAAACUCCAGUGCCAUAGUCCACAUCGCUACACUAAUUGAAAUCAUUUUCUCUAGCCAUUAAAUGUACUCUGCAAGAUGAAGUAGUUAGGCUUUCACCAUAAAACUAAUUGGUAAUAUGGAAAGUAACUCAAUUUCUUAUAAGCCCUUGCAAGGUUGUCUUUUUACCGAUAUGAGACUCUUUUACCUUCACAUCUUUACACACACCUCACAUGUGGCGAAUUCAAGCCAAACACACAUAUAACACAAUUAGGGUGACAUGAAGCACGUGUGACCGUCAGACUUCACAUAUGGGCCAACUUGCGCUGAUGCCACGAAAAAGUUGGGGUUCCACCAUAAAAUCAAUUGCAAUAUGGGGAGUAGCCUAACAUCUUAUAAGCCCUUACAAGGUUUUUCCUUUACUGUUAUAGGACUUUUUACCUUCACAUCCUUAGACAAGAAACAACCCCAAACCGUGAGAUUAGUUCACCAAGCAAAUAAAAACCCAAAUAAGCUGGAAGCUCGUACUUUUGUCACCGUCUGGAGUCUAAUCAUUUAGCAUUUAGUUGGGUUAGAGAUGAUCUAACAAAACACGUCCAAAUACUUUUAAGUAAUACUUUAACAUGCUUAUAAAAAAAAAAAACUAAUUGCAUGCAAAAUGAACAGACGUGCUUUUUAUAACCAUCACAAACUUUCAUGGUCGUCAUCACUUAAGGUUAACAACACAUCUUUAAGUAUUUUUACUUGCUUUCCAAUCAACAGGAAAGAAAUAUUCAAAAUUGAGAUAUCUUUCAAUGUCACGAAGAAAACUAGAAUUUUGACCAAUAGCUGGGUAUUAUUAUUUUAGGUAUAGAAUUAAAGGAAAAGAGGACUAAGUUUAGAGAGUGACCAUGCAUAAAAUUAUGAAACCACUCCAUUUAUUUGAGGUUGUCCCCAAAUCUAAAUAUCUAGCUAGCUGCUGGCUUCCCUUUUCCAAAAAAUCAAAUCCGUACAACGAUAUUUGCGGUAAGAAUAAAUGCAGAAAUUAAAAAUUUCAGACCAAAAGUGUGUAUUAUCAUGCAAUGCGGGCGGAAAAUCAGGCAGGUAGUGUCAAAUGGGAGCCAAGUUGAGCAACAACCCGACACCAAGAGUGAUGAUGCAGAAUAUUGAGUUAGAUUUCCUCUGUGGGUCUCCACACUGGAUUCGAAUACAUUUGGAUUUUGGAGGACAUUGAGAUCUCACAUGAGCUUUAAUGCAUGGAUGGAUGAUAUUUAUUGUAAUAUCAUUCAACUCAUUUGUGAGAGCAAUUUGUAUGACAUGAGUACACUGUUACAUUGACGUUUCAUGCUAAUUAUACAAAGACAUGUGAUGAGAAUUGACAUAUAUUUUUGUAUUGUUGGUAUGAAACGUCACCGUAGCAGCGUGCUUAUACUAUACAAGUCCUUCUCCACUCCAACCAGGCACUUCUUUUGAGUUUCUUUUUUGCACUUUCAAUCUUGCUUUUGUUCUCUUUAUCCAAAUGUCUUUUCCUUUUUCUUGCUGGUUUCUUUUUGUUUAUCCAAAUUUUAUUCCUUUUUUCAUGUCCUCAAAAUGUGUUAUGCCAUAUCUCAUCUAACCAUUGUGAAUUUUUCAGCUAGUAGAAACAAAGAUGUGCACAGAACAAUGUGAGGUUAAAAGGAAUACUGGUUUGUUUUUUACGAUUAAGUUGUUAUUCUUUCUUACCUAUAAAUGACAUAUUUGAUGAAAUGACUUUUUACAAACAUAUAGAGAGUAGGGUUUUUAUCACAAAUGGUUCUUGAAAUUGACUCAUCUCAUCAAAAUGAUCAUUGAAAUUGAAAAUCAAUCAAUGUAAUCCUUGAAAAUUGGUGUCGCAAAUCAAUGUGAUCAUUCCAUUACAAUUCCGUAAAAAAUUAUGUUAUGUGCUGAUGUGGCACGUAACUGAGUUCCACAAAUAUAAUUCAAUAUUGCUAUGUGGACUUAAAAUAUUUAAAUAAUUAAAAACUUAAAAAAAAGGAAAAAAAAAAGAAGAUGACUGUUCAUCAUCUUCUUCUUCUCAUGAGUAAUCACAGGAGCAGACUUGUCGUUUGCGCCUCUGCGAGAACGGCCUUCGAGGUCGACCAAGCUCCAACUUCCGCCACUUCGUCCAAUCUUUUGCCUUUUAGGGUUGGGUACGGGUUCGACCGGCACAGGUUGGAGCCCAGGUACCCUCUGAUCAUCGACGACAUCGACUUACUUAUGACAGAGGUUGGGAUGCGCAUUCCGACGGUAAUUCCUCCAUUAAUUUGCUUUUUCUUCCCGUAAUUUCACAAUUUCUAAUUUAUUUUAUUACAUUUUCGAUUUAAUGUUUGAAUUUUGUAUUUGAAUUUUGGGGAUGUGUUGCUUCAUUGUGUGGUGGGUGCAAUAUUAGGGGCUUUGGGCUUCUGGAUAUCAUGCAUAUAGUUCCUGAUUCGGAGCUAAAGUGGAGGGGUGCAGCUUCCUGGGGUGGGAGAAGAAGAUGACUGUUUUUUUUUUUUUUUUUUGUUUUUGUUUUUGUUUUUUUAAUUAUCCAAAAAUAAAAAUUGUUUUUUUUAUUAUUAUUUUAAAGUAUUUCUAAUCCACAUGACAAUAUUAAUUAGUCUUGUGGGAUCUAUUUAUGUGCUACAUCAGCAUAUAACAUAAUUUUUUAUGGAAUUGUGACGAAAAGAUCACAUUGAUUUUCGACACGUAUUUUCAGGAUUACAUUGAUCGAUUUUCAAUUUUAGGAACCAUCUUGAUGAGUUGAGUCAAUUUAAAAAACUGUUUGUGAUAAAAACCCUAGAAAGUAUAUAUGUACACGUGUUAUAAUGUAAUUUAUCUCACAGAAGAAGCUGAAUUUUUUGCGGCCAAAAUGAGUUUAAAACCAAAAUUUGAGUGGAUCUACAAUAUGAAUCCUCUUCCAUUGUACACGUUCUCAAAAUGAUUUUGAAAAUUAUCGAUACUCUGCCCUUGGGCUUGGGUUAAAGUUUGAAGGCCUGUCUAGUUGGAAUAUUAAUGGGCUAAACUGGUGGUCCAUUUCCUUUGAAACCAUACCCAAACCUUAUUCAGUGAUGAACAGCAUUUGUCCAUUCUCAAGGGUCAAGUCUCUGCCUUUUCACAUUGUUAAUCUAAGAGUUGUUAAGGUUUUUCAUAGUAGUUUAUGUGAAUUUGAUCACAAUAUAUGAAAAUCAGAUCGUAUGCGUUUGAUUCCUAUAACAUUGUUUUUGUCAUGUGAAAGUUUAGUAAUUCUAAAAGCUAUAUAUUCUACAAGAAUUAAACUCAAAAUUUUUUACUUGCUGAGAAAGGCCUAAGCAUUAUAAAGGUUAAAUUGGAUUAAUGGUCCCUGUGGUGGUAGGUUAAUCCGAUGAUAACCCCGUGGUAAAAAAAUUUGGAUUUAAGCCCUCAUGGUGAAGCUUCAGUAGGAUUCAAACCCAAAAUUAACAUUGACAUCAACUUCCAUUAACAUUUCCACCUUGAUUCUUUGGUUCUGCCUCUCCCCACCUGGUUCUUUGCAUCCCAUCUCUCUCUCUCUCUCUCUCUCAUUUUCUCUCCAGACUUUCAACCUGGAGCAAACCAAUGGAUAUUUAUCUGCAUCCCAGCACCCAAAUCAUAGAGUCAUAGCUAUAGUUAUGGAACAUAUGAGUUAAUUAACUAAUCAUUUUCAGCUCCAAAAUAAAAGAAAUCAAGAAAUCGGAGUCGUGAGGGCAUAGAACAGAAGACAAAGAAACUAAUCGUAGCGAAGUUGCCAAGGCAGCGAUAUACAACAAGAUUACAGAUUUAUCCAUAGAUGACGAACAACAAUAACCAGUCGAAGCGACGAACACGAGAAAGGAGGGGAAAAGAAGAGUAAGAGAAGAGAAUACAUAGGUGAGAGAAGGGUAAAAUUGAAAAAAAUGAAAACCAAGAAAAGGGCAUGAGUAUUUAUGGUUGGAUUUAUCCAAUAUAAAUCAACCUUUAAGUGGUCUACUACAUGUAAUAGAAAUGUAAUAUUGGAGAAAUAAUGUUGAUUGUGAUUUGAUCUCUUAAAGAUAUUAAUCCUAUAUCAUGUGUCUUAUAUUGGAAAUAGGAUUGAUGGAAUCCUUAAUUGACUAUAAUUAUGAUUAGGGGUGGGUUCAAAAAACCGAAAACCGAAAAAAACCGAAAACCAAACCGAACCGAGGCCGAAAAAAACCGAACCGAAAAAACACUGAACCGAAACUGUCAAACCGAACCGAACCGAAUCUAACUGGUUCGGUUUCGGUUUUUGAGGUUCGGAAACCGAACCAAACCGAACCGAACCGAUAUAUAUAUUUAAUUUUUUUUUAAAUAUUAUAAAUAGUUUAGUCAUGCAAUCAUAACAAAACAUACCUUGUUGCUAAGUUGGUUUCGGUGAACCUUUUCAAGCCCCAAGGCACGGGUUCGAUCCUCCAGGAUGUCUGAGAUGUUUUUUUAUUUUUUGGAGAACUUAACAAAACCCUUUAACCCUUUAACCCUAGCAACCAUACCCAUACCUUUUAUUUUUUUUCAUUCCCUUCCUCUCUCUCGUUCCCAGCCUCCUCUCCUCCAGUGUAACCCCAACCCAGCGCAGCCGAGCCUCCUCUCUCUCGCCGAGCCUCCUCUCCUCCAGAUGUCCGAUCGAUGCCGGUGCGCAAGGACGACGAGGUCCACAUCGAGCGGAUCACCCGAGAGAAGGUGAACGGGUCCACCGUCAAUGUCGGCAUCAACCCCUCCAAGGUCGUCAUCACCAAGCUCCGCCUCGACAAGGACCGCAAGUCUCUGCUGGACCGCAAGGCCAAGGGCCGCGCCGUCGCUGACAAGGACAAAGGCACCAAGUUCACCGCAGAGGAUAUCAUGCAAAACGUCGAUUGAUUUCGAUCGAUUUCAUUUGGGUUCGUGUUUUUGUUAUUGAAAUGAAAUUAGCGACUGUCAAGUUAAGCACUUUAGUUUUGAUUAUGCUUUAAUGGAUUUGGCGUUUAAUCUAAUCUUCGAUUUGAGAAAAAAAAAAAAUUUGGUUCUGCACUGUGAUGCUUGCUUGUUCUGCACUCUCGCCAUGUCUGCACUGGUGAUUAAAUUCUGGAUGAAGCAUUUACAUUUUUCGGGAUGCUGGAUGAAGCAAUGAAGUAGCUGUUAAUUGUUCUUUACAACCCAAUGCCAAAAAGUACAGCAGUAUGCAAACAUAAGUUCAUAACAGAAGGUGGAGUUUAGAAGUACUGAAUCAUAUCACUUGUCUCAGAUGUUUGUUUAGGUUACUGGACCUGUUUUUUUCUGUUUGUUUCUCGGGAAAAUUUGCAGGCCCACCUGGUUUCAUUUCUCUGGUUGUUGGAUUUGCAAGGUAAAGUUUUCUGGGUUUUUACUUUGUUGCUCCAAAAGGGUCUUAGAAAGUCUAAUUCUUUGAAACAUUUAUGUGGGUUUUGUUCAGUUGGUGGGUUGUAAAUCUCUUAUGGAUAACAUCUAAAUUUUCAUUUUUUGGAGGAAAAAAAAAAAAAACCGAAAAAAAACCGAAACCGAACCGAAAAAACCGAACCGAAAAAAAAACCGAACCGAAAAAAACCGAAAAAAAUAUGGGCCGAACCGAACCGAACCGAAAUUUCGGUUUGGUUUCGGUUUUGGCAAAAAACCGAACCGAAAAGAACCGAACCCAGCCCUAAUUAUGAUACUUAACUUAGAGGCUAAGAAAGUAAGUUUAGGUUUCCUAUAUGGAUGGAAACCCUAUCUUUUAGCCUAUAUAUAUAAACACCGGUCCCUAUAAGCCCUAGAAACACAAUACAAUGCUUCCCAUAUAGUAGUUGUAUUCGGCUAGGAGUUUAUAGAAGAUCUUGGUGUUGCCAUGCUCUGCUACUUUUGGUUUCAACUUCCAUGGCCAUCAUUGAAAUCAGGUCAGUUACUCAUUCAUUUGUGUUUUAAUUGUAUAACCUAAUAAGGCUAACAGUUGGUAUCAGAGCCUCUGGUUAUAUAAUUAAAACCUAUUAAGUUCGACAAUACAUAGAGUUGUUUUACAAAAUACAUAAACUGAAUUUUGGUCUUAAAUUCAAGUGUGAUUCCAUAUCCUUGGCGUACUAAUAUGAUAUGUUCAGCUAUAUUCUAUGAUCAGUUCCUUUUGAUCCUAAAUUCAAGUGUUAGUUAAAUAUUAAAAAAAUCACAGAUAGAGGUCGGUUAAAGAGCACAGGCCGACGGGGCUUACGAUUGUGUUGUUCAUGGUAUCAAGAUUAUUUCUCACUAAUUAAUCUUAUGGCACGAAUUUGAAUUUUUUUUAUCAGAAAUAGCUAUAAACCGUGUUUCAAUCCUAUAAUCAUAUUGAAAUUUGGAGAAGCAUAUAUAUAUAUAUAUAUAUAUAUAUAUAUAUAUAUAUAUAUAUAUAUAUAUAUAUACAUUUGUAUAUCGUGCUAAUAUGUAAAUAUUUUGCAGUGGGAUCCAACACAUGGAUUGAAGUAUAAAAUUUAUAUGGUGAUGAUUGCUUCGAAUUCCAACAGUUUUCCAGAUUAUACCUAUUAUAAUUACAUAUAAUAUAUGGUCAGAUUGAUGGCAUUUUUAUGCAGGCCCUUUUGCAUAUAAUUUGUUUUAGUUGAACUACCAAAGUCUGGAAGUUGCUAGUAAUUUGAUCAAGCAAGCACAUGUAAUUUUUAAAAGCCAAUAUAUAUGAUUAGUCAAAUUUGAUUACCACCAAUAGUUCUAAUAAGGGAAUGAUAAAGAAAAUUUGAUUAGUCAAUUCAUUGGAUUAACUAGGAUUGAAAAGCAUGGAAUAUUUCAGAGUUUUUAUUUCAAUUUUAAUGCUAAUAUUUUGGUUGACCAUAUACUGCUUAUGCAUAAGUUGAAGCCAUGAGGUUGGGGUUCCUCUUUACACAGCCAGCGGCUGCGGCCUAUCGCGGCACCGCCUCAAGGGUUUCAAGGCGGGCUCUAUUAUGUUGGAUUCAUGAAAUGUUAUAUUGUUCUCGCAAAAUCCAACCAUGUCAUGACAUCUUUCUGAUUGUAGGAGACGGAAUGUCAUAUCUAGGGAUGGGCAACGGUUAUGGUGGGCGGGUAACCACGGUUAUUUAUCAAUAACCGUUUAUUCUCAAACCCGCAUAACCGUUUACCCGUUGGGUAAUUGUCUAAACGGUUAUACCCAUACCCAUAGCCGUUUAUAAACGGUUAAUCAUACUUAUAACCGUGUACCCAUUUAACCGUAACCAUUUAGUACCCGUUUACCCAUUUAUCAUUUUUAAACCCGUUUAUCCUUUCUUUUUUACCAUUUACUCAUUUUUCACCCGUCUACGUGUUUUUUAACAACUUGAAAAUUAAAAAAAAAAAAUUUGUCAUAAUUUUGUUUAUCUAACAAUUAAACACCGUUAUAGGUACAUUCAUCAUACAUUUCUGCAUUUUAAUUUUUUAAGUCCAUAUACCAUUCAAAUAAUUGAAAUAAUAGAUUACAGACGAUAUUUUUAACUGUUAGCAAUGAAGGUAAUAUAAAAUUUGCUAAGUAUUCUUGGGUUACGAAAACUGUUAAAGACAAUAUUCUUGGGUUAUUUGACUCGGAAUGUAAAGUAUUAACAUAAUAUAUAUAAUGGACCAUGAAAUUUAAAGUGGUUAGGAAAAACUAUAUUAUAUUAGCUAUAGAAAUCAUGCACUAUAGUCAAUAGCAUUGAUUUAAGUUUUGUCCGAUAGGGAACAUGGUUUGUGUUAAUUUUACAUAUAUAAAAUAAAUGGGUAAAUGGUUACCCGUUUAUAACCGCGGUUAAUACCCAUAACCGCCCAUUUAAAUUUCGCGGGUAAAUGGUUAUACUCAUAACCGUUUAUUUAUCUAAACGGUUACCCAUAAUCGUAACAGUGAAAUUUAUAUGGGUGGGUAACCGCCGUUACCCAUAACCGAUGGGUAUUUGUCCAUCCCUAGUCAUAUCCUAUAAUUUAUCAAUACUAUUGGGAUAUGUUGUGCCUACCUAUGAUUGUGAGAACAUAUGUUAAAGUUGUGUUGCAGGAAUGCAUGCAUAUGCUAAGUUUAUAUAUGUCUAUAUUUGAAAGCAGGUCAAUAUAAAUUUUGGCAACUUUUGUUAUUGCAUCUAGAGCAUCACGGAUAUGGCUGUUUGUUUCAAGGAUGUGUAAGGUGACACAAUUUCUUCUAAUUUUUCCGUGAACAUGGCAUAUGAUAAAUUGUAACUAAUUUGCUUGAACCAAUUUUUCAUGAGAUGUGGAUAAAAUUGUAUGCCAUUAACAGUGUAAGAAACCUACAUGCCUAAUCAAUCGGGUUUUCUAUAAUUUGCUUUCCUAUCUCAAUAGUCAUUUAAAUUAUACAUGACUAGUUAACUAUGAAAAAUUGAUGUAUAAUUUGUGGAUUGGCUGAGAAUGACAGAAAGUAUCCAGUGACAAGAACAAGGGUAAUAUACAAAUGAAUAAGGUUUGUAGUAAUUAUGUGACAAUACUCAUUUGUAUUUUUAUCUAUUCUUAUAUGAGAACUUUGGUUGGUCAUGUGAUUAUAUAUAUGUUUACAAAGAAGUGGUGAACAUAUGAAGGCAUGAGGUAUGUAAUCCAUUCAAAGUAUGUGGCUUAAUUGAUAAGCAUGAAUUUUCAAACAUGUAUUAUUGUUUGUGAUUUUUCCUAUGCCUAAAGAAUUUAAACAGUGCUUUGAUUAGUAAAUUUUUAUGUGUCAUAAGGGGAGAAGAAAAGAAACUUUUCAAGGCUAAUGUAGGGCAUAUAUUGGAGAUGUUUUCUAUGGAAGAAAAUAAUUUUGGUUGUUCCUUCUAUUUAAUUUGGUAUUUACAAAGCUAAUGCAUGAUUUUAAUGCUAUGUUUAGUAGUUUUGUACUACGGAAAGGAAUAUAUAAAAAGGAAAGGAACAUGUUUAACUUAAGAAAACAUUUGAGCAAUUUAGCUUUUAAGUAAUUGACUCCAUAAUGAUAAGUAUUGACAUUCAUGUGGUGGAAUGAAACUUGUUCUAUAUGUGAUUAAUCUCUUUCAAGUAUGCUGUCAGGUUUAUUGAGAUUAAUUUAAUGUCAAAGGGAAUCAUGAAGGAAUUAGUGCCAUUUGUUGGCAAGACUCGAAGCUCGAAUCAGGUUAUAAUAAUUUUGUCACUUACAUUUAAUUAAUCCAUGUGACUUCUUGUAUUGUUUCAGGGCAGAGUUGAUCAAUGUCUUGUCAACUAAGCAAGCCAUAGCCACUUAUUUGAUGCUGGGACUAUGGUUUUUAAGUUAUUGAUCAACAUUGCAUCUUAAUUAGAAUAAAAGCGAUAAUCUUCAGCCCCCAAGUGUGGAUUGUUUCUUUUAGUUUAAUUAUGAUGGCAUGGUAUGGGUUUUAUUUCAUAAGAGUAGUGAAAGCUUCAUCUGCCCAUAGGUGUUGAAGUUUUUCAUGAAGGUACUCUUGAGACAUAAAAUCUAGUACUAGAAACUAGUUAAUUUUCUGCCUAUAGGUGUAAAUUAACCUAGUUUCAUGAAGUUUAUUGGGGAUAAAGUUCCAUGCCAUCAGUUGCAAAUAUUUCCACUAUGAGCCCCAUAAUAGGUUGUGGUUUUAAGGCAUGGAAAUCAGUUGCAUCAUGACGUAUUUUGUGUCUCUUCAUGAGACUUCUUGAUACAAAGUAUUGGACCCAUGAAUGUUAAUCAAGGAUUGCUAAGGUACGCAUUGUUUAAAUCUUAUGCUUGUAAAUCUUUUCAAUUUGAACUAUGAUGUCGGUUUAGAGGAUGAAAUUUGACUACUAAAGUUUCCUUUGGACAUUGAAAUUGAAAUGAUAUGAAAUUGAGUUUGUUAUGGAUGCAUAAAAUCAUGAUAGAUGCACAUAAUUGGUUCCAGCAGAUUAUGUCACUUGAUUUAAAUCAGGUGAACGACACAUCUAAUGGUCACAAUGAUCUGAAUUUUGGAUAUGUUCAACAUAUAGAUGUCUACUAUAUGUCUGCAAAGUUUGGUAAUUUUCUGCCAUGUAUGUUAAUUAUGGUGAAUUUACUAGUAACCCAUGCUCGUACAGCAGUUUUACUGGCAGAUUGUAUUAGUCUUUUUGAGACGUGACUUUAGACUACUAUUUUGACCCAAAAUGGCUGUAUAUUUUUAUUUUAUGAAGAUAAGUAUGUCUAUUUUGAUCAGUAUAAAUUUGGUAGCAAUCAAGCUUAUAAAUUAAUUAUGAUUAAUUCUAAAGUAAGUGUAACUCGUUGCUGAAAUUCUGUUUGACAACUUUAUGUUGGUUGUAAUGUCUAUUUUAUUAUGUCCAAAUAUAAAGCAGUUUUAUUUAGGUACAUCUUUAAAAGAGUGUUUGCCCAAGUGGGAGAAUUAGUGAACAAAUAUUGGGCUUCACACUCGUUAACUUAUUUGCAAGUAUAAAUUCUGAAAACUUUGUGGGAGUUGUUCUAAAAUUUUGAGCACUAAGUGGAUUUGCAUGAAUCUAUUAAGGCGUUAUUCUAUCUUCCAUGAAUUUGUGUUACUUGAAUGUCUAUAAUAUGUUUAAGUUGCAUGAAUGGAUACUUGGUAUAUGCGUACAUUUUUCUGUUAUUUGGAAUCAUUUGGAUUUCUUGGUUGAUCAUUUGUUUUGAGGCUCAUAAGGACUUAGCAUAAAUGUGAAAUUAUUAAUACAUAUAAGAUGGUUGUUGGAUACAUGUUUUUUGUGUAACAGUGGUGAAUGCUUUCAUGCUUAGUUGUACCUUUCAUUAAGGUAAUAUGCAUUCAUUGACUGAGUAAGGCUAUUCCCAAAGGCAUAUUUUCAAAAGUAUGAUUUGAGUAUUGAUUUGCAAAUUAAGUAACAAUGUUGUAGAUCAGUGGGAGAUUGAGUUUUGUGUUAGUAAUGCCUUACAUUUGCAGAUGACCUAUAAUGUAUGUAUAGAAUCCAUGUAUUCAGUUUAAUCUUCAGUUGGAUUCAUUAAGUCACAUUUUUGUGUGCUAGUCAUUUAUCUGAUGAAAUAUAUGUCGGAUAUCAAGUUGUUAUCAAACUGCAUACUAAAUGGCAUGGCAUGGUCUGAUCUAUGCGUUAGUUGUGAGGAUUUCCAUCUGCCCACAGGUGUUGGAAAUCACCAUUAAAGUAACUGGUAAAGUGCAUAGAUCAGUGUAAAAAACAUGUUAAUUCAUUUGCUUAUAAGUGUUGGAUUAGUUUGUUUUAUGAAGCUUCUGGGUAUUUUACUUGGACAUGUGCCUAUUUAGUACUUUCAGUUGUGUCUGUUGGCUUCAAACAUUGUAUGUGUGCUUGUUAUUGGUUUAUUGAAAGUGAUGCGUGAUUGUUUUGAGAUGUACUCACGCCUGCAGGUUAUGGUGGUUUCAUUAGAUGAAGGAUAUCUGCAUUGGCAGAUUUAAGGCUUCGAAAAAGCGUAAAAGUGUAAUUUGUGUGUUACAAUAAGGUGGACCUGAGAUGAUAUAAAGUAAGACAUUUUGGUUAACUUAAAGUUUAUUUAAAGUUUCAUCUCUUGAUCAUAAUUUGUGUUUCAUGUGAAUGAGGAUCUUAGCAUGUGUGAUUAUGAAGGUUCUGGAUUGUGUCAACCCUACAACCUUGUUAGUUCCAUGUUGAGAAAUGCAUUUGAUAGAAACUGCAUUAAGGACGAGAUGUAAUCACUGUUACAUGCCCACUAAAGAGACAUUAGUCUCCAAUCUCAAGUAUAAACAUGAAUAUUACAUUUUGUAGACCAAGUGGGAGAAUGUUGGAUUUAUUCAAUAUAAUCAACCUUUAAGUGGUGUACUACAUGUAAUAGGAAUGUAAUGUUGGAGAAAUAAUGUUGAUUGUGAUUCGAUCUCUUAAGGAUAUUAAUCCUAUAUAAUGUGUCUUAUAUUGGAAAUAUGAUUGAUGGAAUCCUUAAUUGACUAUAAUUAUGAGGCUAAGAAAGUAAGUUUAGGUUUCCUUUAUAGAUGGAAACCCUGGCUUUUAGCCUAUACAUAUAAACACCGGUCCCUAUAAGCCCUAGAAACACAACACAAUGCUUCCCAUAGAGUAGUUGUAUUCGGCUAGGAGUUUAUAGAAGAUCUUGGUGUUGUCGUGCUUUGCUACUUUUGGUUUCAACUUCCAUGGCCGCCAUUGAAAUCAGGUUAGUCACUCAUUCGUUUGUGUUUUAAUUGUAUAACCUAAUAAGGCUAACAUUUAUGAGAAACAAAAUCCGGGAUUAGAAGAAGUGUAGGAAAAGAAAAGGGUGUGAAAUUUUGGGGUUGGAGUUGGUGAUGGUGGUGACUGGUGUUAGAAUUUUACCUGCAUUCCUUCUAACAAAAAUAUCUUGGAAAAAAAAAAACAAAGAGAGGAAAAGUAGCUCUCAAAAUUGAAAAUUCUAACGGAAAUGUUAAUUUUGGGAUUAAAUCCUAACAAAACUUCACCAUGAGGGUUUAAAUCCGAAUUUUUUCACCACUAGGGUUAUCUUCCUACUAACCUAUCACCAUGGGGACCAUUAAUCCAAUUUAGCCCAUUAUAAAUAAUCUAAAGUAGGAUUCGAUAUAAAUAUAAUGAAAUAGUAAUUUAAGGUUUUAGAUGAAUUAUUAAGAUUAUUUAAUGUCAUAGGGAUAAAAAUCCAUUUUCCAGUACAAUGUUUGACAAAGAAUUUUCUCUUAAUUAUAGUACGGAUGAUAUAUCUCAUAAAAUUACUUUGUCAAGGGCAAUAUCACAAAGUACAUAUAAUCUCUAUUUACAUCAAGAGAGAAAAGAAGACGGUCAAUAAACCAGAAGCCAUGCCAACAUUUUGAAUGGUGAUGGCUGAGGAAGGAGCAUGAGCAGGCGCAUCUGUGACGGGGGCAGGCGCGCCAGCGGUGGUCUCUUUGACCUUGGAAACAAGCUUGAAUGGGGAAAUCUUGCCAGACGAUCCGGGCUUGUUGACGACCUUGAUGUGGAGCUUUUGGCCAAACUCGCAGUGCUUGCCGACGCCACUGUAGUAGUAGUGGUCACCUGGUGCUGUGAGGUUGAGGAUGGUUGGUCCGUAGUAGUACAUGUAAAUGACAUUCUUCUGUGUGCAUUUGUCGAAGUCGUCCUUGUUGAUGACUACUACGUUGCCAGAGCCUGGCCUGUAGGGGAAAACUGCAAUUCGGACGACACAUUCAAGCAAGAAUCGUUAGAUAUAUAGAUACACCAAAUGGUAUUUAAGAGUACAUAAACCUAAAUCUUGAAAAUUUGUAGGCCAAGCCAAACUUUCUUUGAUGUACGUAGCUCAAAGGAUUUUCGAUUUUCGUCCUCAUUGUUUAAUUUGAAAACAAAAAUCAUUUAGAAUAGUAAAUUCGAGUAUUAUAUGUAUCUUACAAAUGUAUGUACAAACAAAUUAUUUAAAUUAUUUUCAAGGAUCAAACAAAAACUCCUUGUUUGUAUUUUAAUCUAGGGUUUCGUUUUGAACCUCAUUGCUUGAGUUCAAAACUGAAACCCUUUCGAGCCAAUCAUAUAGAUCACUCGUUCAAUUAUUGAUUAGAACCCUAAGUCGGGAAUUCAAAGCCUUUUGUACAAUAUAGAAGAUGAAAAUGGAUGCUAUUUUCUUUCCUUUCUUAAAUUUGAAAAAUCAACAAGAAAUUCUCUUACCAAGUCUGUCACCAACACCAAAGGUUCUUGGGAAAGCCCAGUCCUCGUAGAAGGUUUUGUUCUCAGGUACAGACCAGCCCUCUUUUCCUCCAACAAUGUGAGUGAAAGCAGUCACUGAUCCCAUCAAGAAGCAGCCGAUCGCUGCCGCCAUAAACACCGCAAACUGAAUCUUUUCCAUCUUGCCUCCCGGCUUUCUAUAUAUCUUUCGAUAUAUAUUUUUUCUUACAUAAAUUUAUUUGUUUCCCUAGUGAGCCGGUGUUGAAGGAAGCUUAAUUAUAAUAAAAUAAUAAAAAAUAAUAAUAACAAUAUUAACCUAGUUCUUGUUUCCUUCAACACAAGACGGCUAAAAGAACAAUGAGAUGCAUGCCUGCUAUUAAAAUUGUUUGGAGUUGCUUGAUCCUGUGAGGCUGUGAUUGCAUGGGAAGUGCAUGGUAUUUUAAGGGUUUUGGACGAAGUCAACGGUUAUGUUGUUAGAAAUAUGAGAUGGGGAUUUUGCCUAUUUUCAAAGGAGAAGAGGGUUUUUAGCACGCAAAACUAACAAUCUGCAUGCAGCGAUGUGGUUAUUUUUGGAGAAAUGACAAAUAAAUAUUUAAAUAAUCAGAUGCCUUGUUGAAACCUAAUUAAGCAAUUUGUUAAUUAAUAAACGAUUCACUGAUUUGAUUAUGCUUCUUUUUGAUACGAAAUCGUUUUCAGGUUAGUUAAUUAAUGACUUUAAUCUAUUAAUAUGACUAUAUGGUUAAUUUAUCGUUAAACUUGUUAAUCAACUGUAAUUCUGAACAGGAUGAUCAUGGACAUUGUACUUGGACUAGCUUUAGAUUAUACCGUAAUCACGCAAAUCCACAAGAACAUGUAUCAUGGCUCACCAAACACUAGUACCGUUUCUGGUUUUCACUGAUAAUGUAGGUUACAUGUACAUAGAGUUUAUGACAAUAAGAGUGUAAAGGCCACCGGAGGAAGAGGAGGUAGUCUGUGUGUUUAAAACAGUAAUAUAGAAAGCAUAUUGGAUCAACCUCCCUCCCCCUCUCUGGGCCCUCUAGCUGAGCUAAGUUGGCUUCAAUCAACACGAAAAUUCCUCAACAUGAGAAAAUUAUAUUGUUCUCAAUAUCAUUACUAGUCAUAAAAAAAGAGGCACUAAUUUGCACCACAUUGUACCAUUAACAAACUCUACAACUUCAAGUUUGACAAAACUCAUUAGUCAAAACUAUGCCGAAAUUUGCACCCAUAACUUGAUCAGGCAUCGAAGAGUUAUUGUCCGACAUGAUUACUCGGAUGAAUUUGGUCAAUACUUAAUCUUCAAAUAUGAUUUGUCUACAUAAAUGAUCCACAUGUUUACAAGUCACAAGUCCUGUCGCAACAAUAUACACAUAACAUAGACCAGUUUGGAAUUGAUGUGCUUUAAGAAUAAUUAAUUGUAAAAUAAAGUAUAUAAGCGUUUGAUAAACAAUAUUUGUUAAAGUGUUGUGAGUAUGAAAAAAGUGUAAAAGCGUUUGGUAAAUUUUAAUGGAGUGAUAUAAAUAUAUCCAAUGACCAAAUUGGACAUGGUAGUGAGGGUGGUGGCGGCGGGGGUGGUGGUGAUGGUAGCGGCAAUGGUGGUAGUGCCAAUAGUAGGGUGUGGUGGUUGGGGUGCAAAGAUAAAAAUGGGGGUAGAGGUGGCGGUAGUGGUGGUGGACUUGUUGUUGUGGCUGUGCUGCACUAGUACAAAAGCAUGUUUGAGCGAUGCAAAACACAAAAUGUCUCACAAUUGGCCCUUGCGCAACGACACUUUGGGCGACGAAGAUUGGCGUCGCGCAAAACAGCUUUGCGCGACAUAGGUAUACUUGCAUCGUGCAAAACAGAUUUGUGUGACCCAGUGUUCGUCGCGCAAAGUGUCGUUGCGCAAAGGCCAUUUACACUAUGAAGGUACACCUGCGUCGUGCAAAACAGAUUUGCGUGACCCAGUCUUCGUCGCACAAAGGCCGUUUUCGGUACGUUUUGUGCGUCGCGCACGAUUUUGGCGCCAAACCAAGAAUGCUUUACCGAUUUUUUCCCAACUUUGCGCGACGAAGACUGGCGUCGUGCAAAACAGCUGCCUGAUUGAUGAAGAUGAGAAUAUCUUCUUCUACACUUAUGUGCAGCCCCAAGUUGCUGUCACUAAUUACAGGUGAAUGUUUCUCAUAUUUGAUUUAUUUCAAGAAAUUUCAGAGUAAGCCUGUGAUGCGUUGAAUGUUUAUAUUCUAGAUAUGAAGUUACUGGGUUAAUGGAAGAGCAUCUUAGAAAUGCCAUGCCAAGCCACUUGUGGGGCAUAAUUUGGACCGGGAUAUGGAUUGCUUGAGAUUGAAUUAUCCUAAUUACUAGCUAAGGUAUAAGUUCCUCAUCGUAUAUGGCACCAAUGCACUUAGUUUACCAUACACUAAACCCCCCAUCCUAACAUAUAAACAUAAGAAUUUUGUAGAAAGUUUAAUAAAAAUAAAUUAUUUAAUAGUUCUGCAGACAAGUUAUCUGCAAAAUUGGUGGUAGACAAGGCAUAGACAAGACACUUCUUUCUCUCUCUGUCUCUCCCCACACACAUAGCCAUCUUUUUUCUGUGUACUUGUUGCUCUGGGUCAUGAUAUAUAACAUUCUAAUUGUCAUGAGGCUCUUGCUGAAUGUGUGCUUUAACUAUUUCAGAUUAGCAAGAAGCAAUAUGAAAUUGUUAAGAGCUUGAAGCAGUCUGGCAAAUCAACUCGCCCAUCAUGACAACAUGCCUUUAAAUAAUUGUAGCUUAAUUCACAAGAAACCAAUUAUUUAUUGCAUAACAUUGUCAAAUGCGAACCAGAAGAACAAUUUAUGUAUUGAGUAACAUUGAAAGAAAAAUAGUAGAUGUCCGAGCUAUGUGCAAUGUUCAUGCAUUGUAACUGCCAACUAGAAGAAACUGAAAUGUAUUUUUUCCUUCAUUUAGUAGGAUCUGAAUGUAUGAUUUAGCGUUUGAGCUGAAAGUAUGGUAUUUAUACUUUCAACAAACACUUAGAAUUUAAUUACAAUAUUUAUUAAAAAUUAAAUAAAAAUAUUUUUUUUUUAAAAAAAAGGGCUUGUGCGACGAAAAAGUAACCUGCGUCGUGCAAAGACAAAGGUUACUUCUUCAUCGCAUAAACCUUUUUUUUUUCGGAAUUUUUUUAUUUAAUUUUUAAUAAAUAUUGUAAUUAAAUUCUAAACAAUAAUUAAUAAACCAAGAAAAAGUAUUUAAUUAUAAAAUAUAUGAAAAUAUACAUACAAGAUGUUCAAACAAAAAAGAAAAUACUAAAACAAAUAGUCUUCUAGGUUUGAAACAUCAGGCUAACUAGGUAUCGGGUGGGUGAAGUGGCUAGUGUAAAUAUUUUAAAGGGAACUAUAACAAAAAGCUCCCGUUACUGUUCAUUUUAAUGAAAAACCACAUUUUUACACUAAAAAGGCAAUCCUGGUACUAUUCACUUUACCCUUUAUUUUGUCUUUAUCGUUAAAACUCAAAGUUUUCAAGCCAUUUUCAUUAGUUUUUCUCAUUUUAAAUUGGCGAUCGAAUUAGUUCAUUGUAUUCAACUAUUCAUAUUGGAUAAAGGAGUGUAGCUGUAAAAAAUCAUCAAAAUCAGAGUUAAAAUAACCGUUAAAUCGUGAUUUUUCGUUUAUAAGCGUUGAAAAGUUUUGUCCCAUUACUUGAUCUCUGAAUGUUUGUUUUUUGUGAUUUUUGGCAUAUGCUAUCUCGAAGUAUAUACAAAAGAGUUUGAUGGUUGGAUCGUUGAAAUUAGUUCGUAGAAUGCGUACCCAUCAAAAUGAUAGAUUCACUAACACUUAGAGUUUAUUUAUACUUUCAUUAAGUAUAACAUAAGAUUUUGUGGUAUUCACUAGUGUAAGUAUUUUAAAUUGACGAUUGAAUUAGUUCAUUGUAUUCAUAUAGGAUCAAGGAGUGUAACUGUAAAAAUCAUCAAAAUCCGAGUUAAAAUUACUGUUAAAUUGUGAUUUUUCAUUGAUAAUUGUCGAAAAGUUUUGUCUCGUUACUUGAUCUCUGAAUGUUUGUUUUUUGCGAUUUUUGGCGUAUGAAUGUCGAAGUAUAUACAAACAAGUUUAACGGUUGGAUCAUUGCAAUUAAUUUCUUAGAAUGCGUAUCUCAUCAAAACGAUAGAGUCCCUAACAUUUAGAGUUUAUUUAUACUUUUAUCAAGAAUAACAUAAGAUUUUGUGGUAUCUACUUGUGUAAAUAUUUUAAAUUAACGAUCAAAUCAGUUCGUUGUAUUCAUAUAGGGUCAAGGAGUGUAGCUGUACAAAAUCAUCAAAAUCAGAGUUAAAAUAACUGUUAAAUCGUGAUUUUAUCGAAAAGUUUUAUCCCAUUACUUAAUCUCUGAAUGUUUAUUUUUUUGCGAUUUUUGGCAUAUGCAAUUUCGAAGUAUACAAACAAGUUUGACAGUUGGAUUGUUGAAAUUAGUUCGUAGAAUGCGUAUCCCAUCAAAACGAUAGAUUCCCUAACACUUAGAGCUUAUUUAUACUUUCAUUAAGUAUAACAAAAGAUUUUGUGGUAUCCACUUGUGUAAAUAUUUUAAAUUGACGAUCGAAUCAGUUCGUUGUAUUCAUAUAGGGUCAAGGAGUGUAGCUGUAAAAAAAUUUCAAAAUCAGAGUUACAAUAACCGUUAAAUGAUGAUUUUUUGUUUAUAACCGUCGAAAAGUUUUGUCUUGUUACUUGAUCUAUGAAUGUUUGUUUUUUGCAAUUUUUGGCGUAUGCAAUAUUGGAAUAUAUACAAACAAGUUUGACGGUUGAAUCGUUGAAACUAGUUUCGUACAAUAUGUAUCCCAUCAAGUUCAAAGGUAUAUAUAUAUUUAUUAAGUAAAAUUUAUAAUAUUUAAAAAAAAAAAACCUUGCGCGAUGUCGAAAUGUAUACUUACGCCGCACCAUUUGUGAUAAUUUUGGCAGUGCAAUAGUAAAAAAUAGGCCAUUUUUUAAAAAAAAAUUUCCUGAGUUUUUUUUAUUUUUUUUAAUAGGCACUUUGCGCAAAAGCUUUCCUCCUCAGACUCUUAGUCCCUCGACUCUCUAACUCUCAACAUCCUUUUCCUCACAGUGCUCACCAGCCAUCACUGCCGUUAACCAACACAACGAUACCACUCAUCAUCUUUCUCGACGACAUCCCAGAAAACCCAGGCCAUCACCCCAUCACCCCUGUCGUCGAUUCUCUCCUCUUCGACAACACCCCAGCCGUCACAACCACCAUCACCCCGUCAUUAUCGUUGAGGACACUGCUACCAGCCAUCAUCCUUCUAAAAUUUAGGUAGUUUUGAAUUAGGCAAAGAUCCCAAAUAUUGAAUUCCCCCAUCCAAUUCACUCAAGAUCGCCUUUUUAGAGGUUGGUAGUGACAUUCUCUGAUUUACUAUAUGGCUAUAUUACUAGAGCAUGUCUGUACACAUUCAUGAAUUAACAACAGUACUGCGUUAAUUUGAUGAAUGUUGUGCCUUUUUCUUGUCCUCUCCCUCGCUCUCUCUUGUUAAUUUUGUUGGUUUGUAGCCACUGUGUUUAAUUGUUUAUUGAGGUGGUAUUUGGCCAAACCGAAUGUUUUAUGGACAUAAGGGUAGUGUUAUUUUUGCAUAGGCAUACUGAUAUAUUUUUAGGGUGUAUUUAUGUAAGAAGAUGGCUGGUGGUGUGGAACUUUUACAGUUAUAUAGACAUACUUUAGCUGUUUAUCUCCUCUUAGAUUGGUUUUCGACUGGAGUUUGUCAUCCAAAUCUUCUCAUUGCAUGUAUGGUUUUAGUUUUAGAAUUGGAUCUCUUUCUGACUUCCUCUUUGUUGUGCUAGGAUAGCACCAAACCAAUUGGAACCAACUCAAGCAACCCAUAGGAAAUAUAUCAAAUGAAAUGCAAGAACAGAAUAUAAAAGACACCAAGAUUUUAACGAGGUUCCUCAAUAGUCAGUGUAACUGGAGUACGUCCUCGGAGCAGUAGGAGCUCACGCAAUAAUCCACUAUCAACCAAAUGGGAGUUUACAAAGUGUUGGCAAUCUCACAACUCAAAACCCCAAUACACCUAAUAACUCUCACUCACCAAAUAAACAAAUAGAGAAGGAAAUAUAAUGAAUAAUUUCAUCUCUAUACAAAGCUCAAAGCUAAUACAACAAAUACAACUUUGAUGGAGUGGUAGUUAACCAAUGAGAGGGCACACUUUAUUCUUCUCUCCAAACAUGGGGUUGCGGCACUUUUUUUUGUUUUGCUCUGCUACUAUUUUAUUUUCCUGCUCAGAAACAAAAGGCAGCAGCUGCCUUAAUUAAAAACCUAGCCACUCCUGUGGCUUUCCACAUGGGCCAAAUAAAAAGGCCCUUUAAAUGGACUGUUGGGCUUACAUAUAAAGGCCCCUAGAAUUUGGCCAAAUAUUCAACAAUCUUCACCUUGGUCAAAUUUCCGAAAACGCCAUGACGAGACAAACCAAAAUAAUCAACAAUUAACACAAAACCACUCCCGAAAGUAGCAAGAGAAUGACUCAUGCCAAGCCAAAAUGCUCCAAAGCUCCUACUGCUCAACGCCUGCUUUAUAUAGGCAAAAUGUGAGCCAAGUUCAAGCAAUGAACAAACUUGGGUACACCAACAACCUUAGUCAACAUAUCAAUGGGGUUCUCUUUAGUUGGAAUCUUCUGGAGAAUGAUAUCCCCUUCACUAACAACUUCACGAACAAAGUGAUAACGCACAUUUAUAUGUUUAGUCCUCGCAUGAUGAACCUGAUGUUUAGCCAAAUAAAUGGCACUCUGACUAUCACAAUGCAACUCCACUUGUUUUUUAUCAACCUCUAAAUCUUUAAUAAGUCUAUGUAUCCAACUAGCCUCCUUCAUAGCUUCGGCAACAGCCAUAUAUUUAGCCUCUGUAGUGGACAAGGAAACAGAAUAAUGCAAAAUGGACCUCUAACAAACUAGCCCUUUAGCCAUAGUAAACACAUAGCCUGUAGUAGACUUCCUUUUAUCCAAAUCACCUGCAUAAUCUGAAUCAACAUAACCAAUUGCAAAGUGACCAAUACCAGAGUCAUCCCUCUCAAAGCAUAAACCAACAUCUCGAGUACCAUGGAGAUACCUUAAUAUCCACUUAGCUGCAUGCUAAUGUUCUUUACCAAGAUUGUGCAUAUAUCGACUCACCAUACCAACUGCAUGAGCAAUAUCCGGUCUAGAGCAUACCAUUGCGUACAUCAGACUACCAACCAAAUUUGCAUAUGGUAUAUUUUUCAUUUGCAGCUUCUCUUUAUCAAUUUUAGGACAUUACAGAGAAUUCAAUUUAAAAUGAGGAGCCAAAGGGGUACUAACCGGUUUGGUUGAAUCAUGAACUUCAAACUUCCGAAUCAACUUCUCAAGGUAUUGUCUUUGAUUCAAGCAUACCAAACCUUUUUCUCUAUCUCUAAUGAUCUUCAUGCCAAGGAUCUUCUUCGCUUCACCAAGGUCCUUCAUCUCGAACUCGUUCUUCAUUUGUUUCUUCAAUUUCUCAAUUUCUUCGACAUUCUUUGAGGCAAUCAACAUAUCAUCAAUAUAUAUCAACAAAUAAACAAAAGACCCAUCUUGUAACUUCUUGAAGUACACACAAUGAUCAUAUUGACUUCUAGAAUAAUUUUGGCCUCUCAUAAAUUUAUCAAACCUCAAAUACCAUUGUCUUGGAGGUUGCUUCAAGCCAUAAAGUGAUUUCUUCAACUUGCAAAACAAAUUCUCUUUCCCUUUCACUUUAUACCCAUCCGGUUGACACAUAUAAAUCUCUUCAUUCAAAUCACCAUGUAGGAAAGCCGUCUUCACAUUGAGUUGCACAAGCUCAAGAUCAUAUUGUGCAAAAAGAGCUAACAUAAUACGAAUUAAGGAGUGCUUCACAACCGGAGAAAAGAUUUCGUUGUAGUCAAUGCUCUCCUUUUGUGCAUACCCUUUAGCAACUAAUCUUAUUUUAAAUCUCACAUUGCUUUUCUCAUCAACACCUACUUUCUUGACAUACACCCAUUUGCAACCGAUAGCUUUCUUACCCUUAGACCAACUCCAAUAGUGGGCUAAAAGCCAAAUUACCCCCCAAAAUUUCCCCCCAAACCCAAUCCAACCCAAGGGGAAAAUUUGGGCUAAAUGCUAAAUGCUAAACCAAGGCCAGAUUCCCCCCAAAAUUUUCCCCCAAACCCAAUCCAACCCAAGGGGAAAUUUUGAGCUAAAUGCUAAAUGCUAAACCAAGGCCAGAUCCCCCCCAAAAUUUAGCCCAGAAAUCGGAAUUUAAUUUUUUCAAUAUUUAUCGGAAUUUAAUUUUUUUUAGAUUAAAAUGUUCAUAAAAUUAAUUUACGACAGUCUACAUAUUUAUUUAUUUUUUUAAAAAAAAUUUAAUUUAUCCACAAAAAUAGCCUAAGUUCAUUCUUUAAUAAUCCCGGGCUAAAAUUUUAGGUUAGAAAGGUUGGAGCAGAAAACUGUUUCUGGGCUAAAAGCUAAAUUUUUCGGGCUAAAAUAUUUGUCUUUUAGCCCAACCAUUGGAAAUGGUCUUAGGCAAUUCAGCUAACUCCCAAGUCUUGUUCUUCAAGAGAGAAUUCAUCUCGUCACCCAUGACAUUGCGCCACUUCUCCUUUUCUUCACUCUCAAUAGCUUCCUCAAAAUUGGAUUGAAUCUCAUCGGUGAUAAUAGGAAGAGCAAAAGAAACAUAAUCACUAUACCGAGUUGGCUUGGUAAUAUUUCUCUUUCCUCUGUUCUUGGCAAUAGAUUCUUGAGGUGAAACUUGCUCUUCAUCUAGAAUAGAUUCUUCAAGUUCAACUACUUCAACAUCCUCUCGGUCUCCCACUUCUUCACUUGUAGUGGCUUCGACAUCAGUUGAAAUAUGAUUUAAAGUACUAAAGGCAGCUUUCUCAAGCUACAUUUGUUGGACAUCUUUCACAAUCUUCUCAGAGUAUCUGAACAUACUUUCUUCAUCAAAUGUCAUAUCUCUACUAAUUACAAGUUUCUUCAACUCUAAGCACCAUACCCUGUAACCUUUGACACCACUACUAAAACCAAGAAAGAUAGUCUUUUUGGCUCUAGAAUCAAAUUUAUUUUCAGUUACAUGAAAAUAAGCAAGUGAAACAAAAAUACGGAUAUAGUCAUAAUCAGAAGAAGGUUUUCCAGUCCAUACCUCCAUCGGUGUCUUGCCUUGAACAUCAGCUGAGGGUAACUGGUUGAUGAUGUGACAUGCAUAAGUAACUGCCUCUACCCAAAAUGACUUGCUCAAACCCGACUGAGGCAACAUACAUCUAACCUUCUCAAGAAAGGUUCGAUUCAAUCUUUCUGCAACUCUAUUUUGUUGUGGAAUUCCCCGAACACUAAAAUGCCUCACAAUCCCUUCAUCUUUGCAAACUUUAAAGAAAGGAUUGCAUGUGUAUUCACCACCAUUAUCCGAUCUCAAAAUCUUAAUCUUUCUCCCAGUCUGGUUCUCAACCAUUUUCUUCCAACUUAAGAAAAUGCUCAACACCUCACUCUUGUGCUUCAUUGUGUAGACCCAAGACCUUCUAGAACAAUCUUCAACAAAGGUCAUGAACCAUUGUCUACUACUCAAAGAAUGAGUCUUUGUAGGACCCCAAACAUCUGAAUGCACAUAAUCAAGAAUGCCCUUCGUUUGAUGUACUGUAGUACCAAACUUCACUCUAGUUUGCUUCCCCAAGACACAAUGCUCGCGGAAAUCAAACUUACAAGUCGUGGCACCUUUUAGAAAACCUUGUAUCACAAGCCCUUGUAGAGUUAUCUCACUGACAUGGCCUAAUCUCAUAUGCCAUAGUUUAGUAGUAUCUGAAUAAGAUGUGCCCGUAUUUUCUAAGACUACAAACACUUCACCUGUCACAAUGCUUCCUUGCAAUAGAUAUAAAUGACCAUAUCGAGGAGCUUUCAUCACAACAAGUACACCAUAAGUAACUUUCAAUGUCUGCCCAUUUGAAUGAAACCUGAAGCCAUUAGAUUCUAAAAAGCCCAAAGAAAUAAGAUUUUUCUUCAAAUUCGGUAUAUACCGAACACAUAUCAACUCUUUAACCAUGCCAUCAUGCAACUUCAAACCAACUGUACCGAUCCAUUUUGUUGUGCAAGGAUUGUCAUCUCCCAUGAAAACAACACCACCAUCAAUCUCUUUCAAGCUUGAAAACCAAUCCUUGUGAAGAGUCAUAUGAUGAGUACAACCCCGUAUCCAAUACCCACUUAGUAACACAAUCAAAUGAUGAGGAAACGGUUAAAGUAAAAUCAGAAAAAUCAUUUUCAAGCUCAACAACAUUAGCUUCAGAACUCACUUUGCCUUUGGUAUUCAACCUAGGACAAUCUUUCUUCCAAUGACCUUUAUUAUGAUAAAAAGCACAUUCAUCCCUUUCCAAACUUUUUCUACCUUUAGAAGUUCCUAUAGGUCGAGAAAGUGAUUUUUUCUUACUAGAGAAUAAUCUUCUCUCUGAUGAUUUACCUCUAACAAAUAAAGCUUCAGAGCUAUUAUCAUGAUUCUUAUCAACAUGCCUCAUUUCAUAAUUCAUCAAGGCAUUCAACAUCUUCAAAUUUCAUAGUUUCUUUACCAUACAUAAUAGUGGUAACAAAAUGCUCAUAAGAGUCCGGCAAAGAAUUCAACAAUAUUAAGACCUUAUCUUCAUCCUUAAUAUCCUCAUCUAAAUUCAUCAAAUUGGCAAUCAACUUAUUAAAAGCAUCAAGGUGUCUAACCAUUUUUGUACCUUCUUUAUAUUGGAAGCGGUAGAGUUUUUUUUUUCAAGUGUAGUCGAUUCUCCGCACUCUUUGUCAUGUACUUGUCUUCUAAUUUUUGCCACAACACAUUUGCCAAUGUCUCUUGCAUUACAAAAUAUUUUUGAGUUUUUGCAAGGCACAACCGAAUUGUGGAGCAAGCCUACAAAUUUAAUUUAUCACAUUCCGACCUUGACAUAGCUUCCGACUUAUCUCCCAAAGCGGCAAGUAGAUCUUGUUGAGCCAACACAUCCUUGACCUCAUAUUGCCACAUCCUGAAGUUGUUUGUGCCAUCAAAUUUUUCCACUUCAAACUUUGCAUUUUGCACUGUAGUUCUUGCAAAUCUGGAGCUGCUUCUAAAAGGAUUCUCAUCUUGCUCGUCUGACAUCUUUAGCAACUAGACGGUACCCAUGGGCAACCAGUGCUCUAAUACCAAUUGUUGUGCCAGGAUAGCACCAAACCAAUUUGAACCAACUCAAGCUAACCCACAGGAAAUAUAUCAAAUGAAAUGUAAAAACAGAAUAUAAUAGACACCAAGAUUUUAACGAGGUUCCUUAAUAGUCAGUGUAAUUGGAGUGCGUUCUUGGAGCAGUAGGAGCUCACCCAAUAAUCCACUAUCAACCAAAUGAGAGUUUACAAAGUGUUGACAAUCUCACAACUCAAAACCCCAAUAACUCUUACUCACCAAAUAAACAAAUAGAGAAGGAAAUAUAACGAAUAAUUUCAUCUCUAUACAAAGCUCAAAUCUAAUACAAGAAAUACAACUUUGAUGGAGUAAUAACUAACCAAUGAGAGGGCACACUUUCUUCUUCUCUCCAAAAGUGGGGCUGCGGCACUUUUUUUUGUUUUGCUCUGCUGCUCUUCUAUUUUCUUGCUCAGAAACAAAAGGGCAGUUGCUGCCCUAAUUAAAAACCUAGCCACUCCCGUGGCUUUCCACAUGGGCCAAAUAAAAAGGCCCUUUAAAUGGGUUGUUUGGCUUACAUAUAAAGGCCCCUAGAAUUUGGCCGAAUAUUCAACACUCUUCAGCUCAUGUAUCAUGGGGUGGUCUGACUUUAACAAACUAUGCCUACUUAUCAGGAAUGUUCUUUCGAAAACCUCACCUUUCAUUACUUGUCGAGCCUUCAGAUAUUUUGGCCUUUUUAGUUAUAAACCUUGCAAUAUGUAUAUAUAUCUUAGAGUAAAGUCACCAUCUUAUUCAUUGCUGAUCAUGUUUUAGAAACAUAACAUCUUCCUAUAUCGUCAUGAAUCCACAUUAGGCGAUUCCGUUAUCUAUUCUUUCUAAAUUGCUUGAUAAAUGCUAAUGUAAGACAAAUUUAUCUAAUACAUGCUAAGUUGGACAGGCCAAAGACAUAACAGAUUUAGGUUCCUUGAAGGAGGCAGCAUAAAUCUUCAUUCCAGGUACAGGUAACAUGGUUUCUAUCUUCUCAGUCUCAGCCUCUGAUUUGGUAAACCAAAAAAUUCGGGAAUGUGUGUAAACUUAUAAUUUGCUUCUCUCAUUAUCCUUCUUCAACUAUGUCUUGUAUUGAUUCUUAUUCCUAAUCAUUCUACAAUUGCAGUUCGAUCAACUGUAUACUCUGCCCGAGCUAUAAGGACAAAGGAAGAAGGUUUUAGGUAAGCUCAACUUUGCCUUCUUUUCUCUCUCAAGAAAGAAGUCAUACCUGUCAUGGUCCCUCAUCUAACCCGUCACUGAUGCACAUUUCUGGAACAAGCAUGCAGCCUUCUUCAUUUCACUGUUAAGUUUAUCUGCUGUUACUUUCAGUUCUACAGGAACUCUUGCUCCUAAUUUUUGGCUGUUAACCAUCUUUAAUUAGUAUUGUUUCUACCGUUGCAGUGCUGCUUUAUAUAUAUAUAUAUAUAUAUAUAUAUAUAUAUAUAUGUGAACAAAUGCAAGAAAGGAUAUGCUAUUACUUUGGCUGCUAAUUGAUUAGUUUCAAAUGCAAGAAAGGAUUAGUUUCUAAUGUUAUAAUUUUAUGGUUCAAAAAGUGUAUAGAUGUCGCGGUUGAUCGCUCGUCGUCGGAGUGUGACCAAUGCGCCUCCCGCAUUAUGAACAUCUACUGCUCCAAUAACCUGAUGUAUCAAACCUAGAAGAUUACUUGUAGUUUUUUUUUUUUAUUCGGACAUCUUGUAUGUGCAUUUUCAUAUAUUUUAUAAUUAAAUACUUUUCCUUGGUUAAUUAAUUAUUGUUUAGAAUUUAAUUACAAUAUUUAUUAAAAAUAAAAAAAUAAAAAUUUUGACCAAAACAAAAGAAAGGGUUUGCGCAACGAAGAAGGCAUCAUAUAAAGCCACUAAGCCACUUUGCGCGACGUAUGUCCCUACGUCGCGCAAAGCCACCAAAGCCACUUUGCGCAACGCACAUCUCUACGUUGCGCAAAGAGGCUUUGUGUAACACAUGUCCCUACGUCGCGCAAAGCCACCUAAGCCACUUUGCGCGACGUAUGUUCUUUUUCGUCGCGCAAAUCCUACUAUGACGGUUAGCUCGCGAUGAAGGUUUUGUUGCACUAUUUUUUAGGCAACGAUUUUUCACUUUGCGCGACGAAGCUAUCUACGUUGCGCAAAGUGUUUUUUCUACUAGUGCUAGUAGUUGUAGUGGUGGUUGUGGUGGUGGCGGCAAUGGCGGUGGCGGUGGCGAUGAAUUAUGGUGGUGGUAAUUACGGCGGUGGAGUAAGGUUAGUGUUUGUACUAGUAGGUGGUGGUAGUCGCUUUGUUCUUUUAUGGAUAAUGUGUUUUGAAAAAAUAAAUAAUGUCAUUUUCAAAAAACUUAAUAGUAACGGUUGCUCUCCAAUGGAUAGUGUAUUACAAAAAUUAGAAAUAUUCAUUAAAAGCUUUACUCUGCUUUUAUGGUAGCAAUUUUUAAAAGCAACUUACAUGCUACUUUUACCAACUGUUUUUGCUUUUGGUAAUAAAAAAAUACCAAACAAAUUGCUUCAUGGUCCUGGUUGUUUUACUGUGUAAUCGAAUAACCUGCGAGCUUAUCCUAAUUAGUUGAUUCCUAACCGGGAUUCUGACUCAUCUGAGAAGUUUAUUACUGUUGGUGGGAUCUAAUCUUAGGGAAGCCAUUUUUAUCCAAACUAGAGAUCGUUUCUUGAACUUGACACCAGUGUUGCCUCAAGUCGAUUCAUUUUAUGGCAGGAAGAUGAGGGGAUAAAAAGACAAGUAGGUAUGCUUUGGAUAUUUAGAUGCAUAAACUUGGAAUUCACUGUGUAAAAUGGGCUAGUUAGCUUCCCGAUUACUUUUGGGUUUCCAGAUUGUACCAAAAUGUUGAGAUGUUAUAUCAAAUAAGCAACUGCUCCAAAGUCAAUAUCAACAACCACGAGCUGGUAGCCCAGUAGCAAAUGACGGAUUACAAGACUUCUUUAAAACUAAAAAUUGGAGGUCUUGGGUUCGAAACCCACUACUGGUUUGAAAGUCAGACUUAUGGUCAGGAAAGGCUAAAAUGCUUUUGUGAGUCUUUUCGGAUUCCGGAAGAUUGGAGCCACUAUUUGUCACUUUUUUAUUUUUUUAUUUUUUUAUAUUUUUAAAAAGGUCGAUAUCAACCAUUGAAUAUUGUGAUUUUGUUAUAUGCUUUCUGACGAUGAACAAUCAUUAUUAUUCAGUUGCUAUUAGCAUUAAUCGGUCAGUGGCUUUACCUAGAUGUAUCAUUCUAGUUUCUGAAUGCAAAACCUGCUUUUAUGCAAACACUUAGACGUUUCUUUCAAUUAUUUUUUCGUAACAGCAAAUGAAGAAGUUUUCAUUAGUUGGGCAGCAACAGAAGGAUGCAAAGCCAAUUGACAGGAAAGCCUGAUUGCUUUUUGUGUUGAUAAGAUUCUUAGGCAGAGGUCUUUCUCGUACGGAUGACUCCUUUUUCUUUCCUUCCCACCUUCCAUUUUUAUGGGUGACAAACCGACAAUUAUUGAGGUCGUAAAAUGUUUUUCUGAUUUUCUUUUCAUACAAUGUGCUAUUUUUCCUAUUCUACUUCUGUGCUUCAUGUCGUUAGUAAACAGAAUGCAGGAACGCAAUUGCCAAACAGCGAUACGACACGAUACGACACAGCGAUCCGGCUAUUGUCUAAAUAUUAGGAUACGAUACGUCUUCUACAUAGAGCUCUCUCUCUCUCUCUCUCUCUCUGCCCCUCCCACUCUCUCCCCCUCCUCUGGUUAGAUCAUUUCAUCGUUAAGGUGCUUUUGUUGCGUAUUCAAAAUGUCAGAUUCGCAUAUCAAAAGCGUAUCGACGACGUAUCCAGAUGUCCACUGGUCAACGGAUACGUUCAGAUACGUAUCCGGAGCGUAUCGGCACGUAUCGUAUCCCAGACCGUAUCUGAUACGGGAUACGCUCUUAAGUUGGCGUGUCCGUGCGUCAUAGCACUCAACCAUGAAACUUGAAUCCAAAGUACACAAUGACAAAACAGGAAGAGAAAAACAAAUGGGGAAAAGUGAUUUUGAACUAACCAUCGUUGCUGCUGUGACCGGGAGCUGGAGCGGGAGACAUGGGUUUGGCCUGAACAGCAGAGAUGGAAAUGCCAAAAAUGACGACGACAAUAGCCUCAACUACAAAAGGAUUAGGAGAGAGCCUGGGAAUGGCCAUUGUUGUUGCCUCUUUCGGAGUCCUUGCCUGGAAUGCUUCCAAAGAGGUUUCCUCAGAUCGAGAGAGAGAGAGAGAGUCCGGAAGAACUCGAAAGAAUAAAAGGGUUGUGAGACUAAGCCGGUAAUGCCGUAACCUAGCGUGGGGUGACCAUUUUCAACCCUUGGCUUAAAAUAAAAAUUUUUAGCCCAGAAAAUUUAGGUUUUAACCUAGAAACAGUUUUUCUGCUUGAAUCAUUCUGGCCUAAAAUUUUAGCAUGAGAUUAUUAAAGAAUGAACUUAGGCUAAUUUUUCUUAAAUUAACUUUAAAAAAAAUUAAAAAUUAUGUAGACUAUCGUAAUUUAAUUUUAUGAACAUUUUAAUCUAAAAAUAAAUCAUUAAAUCGACACAUGAAACUCACCAAACUUUCAACUUUCAACAAUCGUUCAACUUUCAACAAACUUUCAACUUUCACCAAUCGUUCAACGUUCACCAAACUUUCAACUUUUACCAAUCUUUCAACUUUCAUCAAUCAUCCUCUAUAUAAACACAGGUUGAAUAUCAGUUGAUCACACAAUCUUCCAACCUUCAAUCAUCCUCUAAAUCCACCAAUCUUUCAACUUUCAAAGUGUUUUUGUUUCCUAAAGUCCUUAAUAUCUCAUCAAUGGGUGAUAGAAGAAGACGUAGCAGGGCAAUGCAGAUGACACAAUACCAAGCAUGCCUUGACAUUGAGGAUAUAGAAAUGAUCAAUGCAGAAGUUGAACUUGCAAACUCGCUUAUGCAAUAUGAGCACUAUGCUGAAUCUAGCCAUCGUGGUUUUGUCACGGGGCGUUCAUUUGUGCAGCGUGAUAGAGAAGAGUGUCAUGACCGAAUGAUGAAAGAUCAUUUCAUCAAGCGUUCGAGAUUUCUUGCUCAUGAUUUUCAAAGGUGGUUUCGGAUGAAGAGAAAGCUUUUUGAUAGCAUCUUGAAUGCAGUUGUCAAUCAUGACCACUACUUUGCAAGGAAGAUAUAUGUCAUCGGCCGACAAAGUCUAUCACCUCAUCAGAAGCUCACUUCUGCAUUUCGGAUUUUAGCUAAUGGGUGCUCUGCAGACUCAACUGACGAGUAUUGUCAACUUGUGGAUAAUACUGCUAUUGAGAACCUGAAGCACUUCUGUCAGGCAAUUCAAGCCAUAUAUGGAGCCACAUAUCUCCGCAAACUAAAUCGUGAAGACUUGAAGAGGCUUUUACGUAAGGUAGACAAAAGAGGCUUCCCUGACAUGAUAGGAAGUUUCGAUUGUAUGCAUUGAGAGUGGAAGAAUUGGCCUACUGCUUAUUAACCCUAAGAUCAAUAUUGCAGAAGAAGAAAUGAAAAUUAUCAAAAGAAGAAGAAGAUAACUUGUAUUUCUCAGUAAAAGCAAUCACAAUACAAGAGAGGGAAAAUCUCUUUUUAUACAUUCCGCUUAGCUUAUACUAUAAGCCUCUAAUGAUGUGGCACAAGUGUACAUGUCAUCUAUAUCCAAUAUCCUCCCUUAAUCGUAACUAGGAUUUCCUAGUUUAAGAUUGGUACAAUGUUUGAUGAAGUCAGGACCAUUUAAUCCUUUAGUUAACACAUCUACCACUUGAUCCUUUGUGGAAAUGUACUGGACUUGAAGAUCUCAUUUUUGAACUCUUUCUUGAACAAAAUGAAGAUCGGUUUCGAUGUGUUUAAUCUUGGAAUGUUGAACCGGAUUGAGACUUAAGGCAAUAGCAGACCGAUUAUCCCAAUGUAAAAGAGGGGGCUAAUGUAAAACCACACCCAUAUCCUUCAAUAUCAGCUGUGGCAUGAGCUAAAGCCUUGUAUUCAGACUAAUGUCUCUGUGUAAUCCAACCCUUUUUCUUGACUGAAACCAUGUGCAACCAACCUAGCUUUAUGUCUAGAGAUAGAACCAUCAGGAUUUCUCUUUAGUUUAUAUACCCAUUUACAACCAACAAUAUUUUUAUCUGGAGGUAAGGGAAGCUUGUUGCCAAUGAGGAAUUUGAGAAGCCACCCUGAAAUUAGAAGGCUCAGAGGCAUCUGUAAUAUCAACAACAACGGUAAAUCCUCCAGAAAAAUGAGUACAAUCAUGUAAUUCCAAAGUUUGAACUUGAGGACAAACUACUGCAAGUGCAGUGUAAUCCUUUCUAGUGAUGGUUCUAGUUUUAAGCCUUGUUUGAAUACCCGGAAGAGCAUCGGCUAGUACUGAAGUAGUAGAUACUGAAGAAGUGGAAAGUGACAGACAUGCAACAUAGAGGGAGUGGAAAGAGUAGCUGUGAACACGGAAAAUUCCUGAAACGAAAGAUACAAGAACAACGUGCACAAACAAAUAUUUGUAUUUUGAUAGUUUUGGGUUACAAUCUCUCUCUAUUUUGAUCCUCUGAUUCGAUCUUCGUAAGGUGUGUAUUUGUGGAUGUGUGAUUGAUCCAAAGGGCCGUUGGGCUUGAUCUAAGGAUGAACGUUCUUCAAGGGCCGUGGACUUGAUCUUGAAGGUGGAUUUGAGCGGAUCUUCAAAGGGGCUUUUGGGCUUGAUCUUUGAAGAACAGUGACGAACGGAUCUCCAAGGGAUUUUGGGCUUGAUCUUGAAGAACAGUGAUGAACGGAUCUUCAAGGGCUUUUGGGCUUGAUCUUGAAGAACGGUUGGAUGUGUGGAUUUGUCGACGUUGUUGAUCCAAAGGGCCGUUGGGGCUUGAUCUUGGAUGAACGGAUGAUGAACGAUGGUGCUUUCUUCAAGGGCCGUCGGGGCUUGAUCUUGAAUUGGUGGAUGGUUGAUCCAAGGGCCGUCGGGGCUUGAUCUUGGAAGAACAAUGAACGAAGAACGAAGAACGAAGACACUUUCUUCAAGGGCCGUCGGGGCUUGAUCUUGAAUUGGUGGAUGAUUGUUGAUCCAAAGGGCCGUUGGGGCUUGAUCUUAGGAUGAACGAUGAACGAAGAACGCUUUCUUGAUUAUUCGGGAACCUGGAUGCUUGAGAGCUUCGGAGUUUCAGAGCUUCAGAGCUUCAAGAGUUUUGCCUAAUGAUUUUGGUUUUUUUUUUAAAUGAAUGAAAUGGGCUUGUAUUUAUAGAAUUUUCCAAGGCCUAACUUUGAAUAUAAUAUUCCAGAUGAAAUAAUUCGUUUCUGCCAGGUGUUGACACGUGUCCUAUUUGAUGACUUUUCCAACUCAUUUCAAUUUUCGUUGAGUCACACGCUACGUGUAAAAUUUAUGUAAUACAUGAGCGUUGACACUUUGAUUUAUCGGUCAACAUUUAUUUACCGAAAUUUCGAUGUCUACAGUAGCAUUUAAACUAGAAGUAGCUAGAUCGAGAUUAGGAUCCUGUACAUGAUUGGACACACUAGAGUCUUGGGAAUAACCGCUAGCCGUUGAUGCAUUUGAAACUAAAUUCUCAAACAAGAAUAAAUCUUGAUUAGGAUGUGAAGCCAUCAGAUUAACCACAACAGGUCUUAGAGGUACAGUGGAAGAUGAAACAGAAUUUGACGGUGUAUAUGUUGGAGAAGAAUGACUAAUAUAAAAAGGAAAACAACCUUCAUCAUGUAUAACAUGUCGUGAGAUUACUAUUUUAUCUGUAAUGGGAUUAUAACAUAGUGCCCCUUUGUAACCAAAGCAAUAACCCAAGAAAACACAUUGACUUUACCUAGGUUCAAGCUUGUGUGCAUUAUAAGACCUGAUAUAAGGGUAAAUAGCAUAACCAAACACUUUCAUGGAAGACAAAUCAGGUUUCUUAUCAAACAGUUUUCCAAAUGGUGAUUGCAUCCUCAAAGUUCUAGCUGGCAUUCUAUUAAUCAAGAAAACAGCAUGUGCAACUGCAUGGUACCAGAACUUAAGUGGUAGUUUGGCAGCAUUUAACAUAGUCAGUGCAUUUUCAACAAUAUGCAUGUGUUUCCUUUCCACCAAACCAUUUUGUUGAGGUGUAUAAGGACAUGAAAUAAAAUGCAAUAUCCCAUGAGUAGCAAGAUAAUCCUUGAAAGUAUUACUUAAGAAUUCACCACCACCAUCAAAUUGUAAUACCUUUAUUUUUGUAUUAAACUGAUUGUCUACAUAAGCACAUAAUCUUACAAAAGCACCAAAAACUUCAGAUUUAUUCAUUAAUGGAAACACCCAUGCAAAUCUUGUUGCUUCAUCUACAAAAGACACAUAGUAUUUGAAUCCCUCAAUUGAAACAACUGGUGAAGGACCCUACAUGUUAGCAUGAACUUUAUGAAAAGGAAUAUCAACUCUAUCUAACUUCUCUGAAAAAGACAGUUUACUCAUUUUGCCACUCAGACAUUGUGAACAAACAUGAGCAUUGACAUCACUAGAGACAGACACAUUAGAAUCCCUAAGCAUAGCUUCCAAAAUCUCAUUUGAAGGAUGACCAAACCUAUUAUGCCACAAAGAAGUCUUGACAGCUUUUCCCAUGAAUGCAGCAGUAAUAGAAUCACCUUGAGAAAGUAAAGUUGGAAACACAUGUACAAGAAUCUUAAACAACUCAUUUUGGCUACUCUUUCCUUUGUAAAGUAUCACCCCUGUUACCUUGUCCUGCACAAAGAAUUGGAAAUCAUCACAGAUAAACCAACUAUUGUUAUCUUUGCACAAUUGUUUCACAGAGAGAAGAUUGACUGUUAACAUCGGAACAUGCAAAAUAUUUCAAAGAUAAAACAUGUGAGAAGGGGAUUGUAAUGUGUCGUGACCAAUAUUUUGAACAGUCAAGCCUUGACCACUACCAACAAUGAUUUGUUUAUCACCAUCAUAAGGAACUGCAGAAUUUAAGAGUGUGAUAUUAGGGCUCAUAUGAUGAGAAGCACUUGUAUCCACUAUCCAAGACUCACACUUAGCAGAAGGUUGUGCAGUGAAAGCAAUCAUAGGAGAAGAAACAGAAGACCCUUGAACUUCAAAAAAAUCUGGAAAACUUGUAGAUGACUAACCUUGAUGUAGAAAUGAAGGAGCAAUGCCACUAAAAUACUCUGGAGGAGGAGAAAAACCUUGAAAUCCAACAUUACCAGGAAAGGAAACAUAAGACAUAGAAUUAGAUGCAUAAUUGAGAGGAAAAAUCUUGAGAAACAUAAUUAGCACUGAGUGAAGCAGGAAAUGGCGCUCCUUGUUAGGCAUAAUUGCCACGAUGCCUGCAAUCAACAGCAAUAUGUCCCUUUUUACCACAAAUUUGACAUUCUUGAACCACUUGAGUAUUAUCAGAUCUAUAUAGACAAGUAAUUGCAGUAUGACAUUUCCUCAAACAAAUCUGACAUUCAGGAAUGAUCUCUUGUCUAUUAGAUGUGUUGCCAGACCAAAAGUUGCCAUUUCGAGAACUAUUAAACUUGGAUUUAUAACCACCAGAACCCUUGCCUCUAUAUCCAUUGUUAUGACCAAAAGAUCAAUUCCCUUGCCCAUUGUAAGUAUUCUAUCCUUAACCACCAAAAUUGUUCUGUCCUUGUCCAUUAAACUGAUUUCCAGGAGACUGAAAACCAGAAAAAGAAGAAGAGUUAUUUUGUGAAAAACCUGGAGCUUGAGAGAAGCCCAUAUUAGAUAGUCUAGGAGCAACAAACCCAAAACCUAAAUUUUGGGGAAAUAGAGCAGAAGAAACAGACCCACUUGAGAUUGGAGAAGAUGCAGAAGCAGUAGACACAUCAGGAGAUACAGAUAAACCAGCAUUGGUAUACAUAGCAGCCAUACUAUGAACAAGAGAUUGCAUCCUAGUUUCAAGAUUUGUUCUAUGCCCCUAACAAUUGAGCUCGAAAUUCUUUCAAAGUAAUAGGUGUGUCUUGGGCAAGAAUAACAGUUCGAAUUAUAUCAAACUCAACUGGUAACCCUGUCAAAGUUGCUAUAACAACAUCAUGAUCUGUGAUCUUUUCACCAGCGGCAGUAAGUUUGUCUUUAAUAACCUUCACCGUAACAAGUAUUUAUCCACACUAUCACCACCUUUCUAAAUGGUAUGUAACUCUGCCUUUAAGUGAUUAACACUAGCACUUGAAACAAACAUAUAGAGAUCUUGCAAAGUAGUCCAAGCUUCAUAAGAAGUCUUACACCCAACAUGUUUAAUAACAUCAUCAUUGAGUGUAGCAAUGAGAAGACUAAGCAAAGCCAUAUCUGUCUUAACCCAAGUUUUAUAAGUAGUACUGAUUUCUUGAGUAACCCCCAUCUCAGAAUUAAGCACAUAUUUAGGAGGACACACAGAUUCACCAGUGAAAUGAUCAAAAAGAUCAUAUCCACGAAGCAUAGAGCAAAACUGAAAGUUCCACUUAAUGAAAUUAUCGUCAUUCAAUUUGAUUGUUAACAUCCCUAAAAGGUUUUCAAGCUUCACUGAUUCAGACAUGAUUCCACAACAACAAUUUCAAUCAAGAAUCACAGCCACAAUCCAAGAAGAUAUAAUCAGAAAAAUCACUGACUUAGGCGAAAAACCCAGAUGUAAAAACUCAAAAUUCGAGUCCAAAAAUUCACAAAUUAGAACAAUCAAUUAACAAUACUAGAUGAACAACUGGUUAUUGACCGUAAUUCAUUACAGAAAUCAUGUAAAUUGGCAUCGGCCUUCAAGAAUGCUUCAAUAGUACACAAUCUAAAAUGAUCUAAUCAAUCAAGCUGUCUGGGCAACAACCUUGAAUUCAGAUAAGCUACUACUAUAAUCUUGAACAAAGAAACAAGAUCCAGGAAAAAAAUUCCCAAAAUUUUCAAUUUACUAGAAAACUGAAGACGAGGAGAGAAACCACCAAACCUCAAAGAAGAACACAGCGGAAAUAGAACUUCACCAAGAACCCAUUGCGCAAGCAGACUGGCUCUUUGAUACCAUAUUAACCCUAAGAUCAAUAUUGCAAAAGAAAAAUGAAAAUUAUCAGAAGAAGAAGAUAACUUGUUUUUCUCAAUGAAAGCAAUCAUAAUACAAGAGAGGGAAAAACCCAUUUUAUACAUUCUGUUUACAACCGCUUAGCUUAUACUAUAAGCCUCUAAUGAUGUGGCACAUGAUGAUGUGGCACAAGUGUACAUGUCAUCUAUAUCCAAUACUGAUUAGGCUGGCCAAUUCAAGGGUCGUUAUAACAAGCCAACCAUCGUGCUCGAGGCUGUGGCGUAAGACACAUGGAUUUGGCAUGCAUGCUUCGGAUCUCUUGGAUAAACAACGAUAUCAACGUUCUUUGGUCUUCACCUCUGUUCGAUGAUGUUGUCAAUGGAUGGGCACCAGAAUUUCAGUACAAGGUAAGUAUGAGCUAGGUUAGUACCUAACUGAUGGUAUUUAUCCUAGUUGGUCUACCUUCGUCAAAAGUUUUUCUCAUCAUAAACACCACCAGCUUCCCUUAAAUCGGCGUUGGAGAACGAUUUUACCCUAUAAAACCUUUCUAUUUUGAUUCGUUCCGACGGCACCAUCUUCACUAAUAGAAAUCCAUGCCAAACAUAAAGCAAUAUCUUCGUCAAAGGUCCAAUUACAACCUCUAACAUGCUGUUUUGCCAUCUUGAAAAUUUUGGAAAUGAGAAGAAAUGGUAGAAAGAAAAAUUGGAAGAAUUGUAGGAGAAAGUGAGUUUUGUGUGGAUGUUUGAACAAAUACAUAGGUAUUUAUAGAGUUUUUAGGUGAAUUUUGAGUUAAAUAAUUUUUUUAAAUUAUUUUAGCCGUUAGAUUUAAAUUUGGACCGUUAGAUUUUUUUUUUUACCGUUAGAUUUGAUUAUAUUCGAUCUAAGCCGUUGGAUUCAAUAAUUAUAUAAAUAUAAUUAAAAAAAUUGAACGUGGACCAUUGGAUUAGCCAAAGGCCCUUUUGAAAUUAGUCGUUGGAUCGAAAACAGUAGCCCAACGGCUACUGACAUGAUGUGACAGCCAGGGGACACGCCCACGUGGAUAGGGUCCCGCUGGGCUGGCAUCUAGCGCGUUGGGGCGAGUCGGGUUGGCGUUUGGGCUUCACAGCCCGUGGUACACUCGCAUCGGCUAGGGUCCACUCCAAUUUGUGGCCUAAACUUGGGCCGGUAUUUGGUCCCGAGAUGAGUUUUAGGUUUUAGGUUAGUUUUAGGCCAUGGGUUGGGUUGGAUUUUUGGGGGAGGGGGGAAGGGGAAUUAUAGGUUUUAGCCCAGGGUUAGAGUGGGUUUAAGGAGAAAAAGGUGAAAUAUGCCUCAUAAUAGGCUAGUAAUAAUGUGGUUCAAAUUAGCCUUUGGCAAGUAUCGAACCUAAGACAUCUCACUUACAAGUGAAGAGGAAUACCACUAAACCAUAAUAUUAAUACUAAGUGAUCUUUAGACAAACCCUCAAUCUGGGAAAUCCUUAGAACCUUUGGCCCUUUAGUAUUCUACUUAAGAAUUGGAGUAAAAAAUUACUUUUUCAAAAAACUUGAUAUAAGUCUUAUUUUGUGACUUACUAUUAGAUUGUGUCCACUUUGUUGAGUUAGGUUUCUUAACUGAUUAUCCAGACUAACUUUUAUUUACCAUUUUAUCAAAUUGUGAAAUGUUAUUCCUUAUUUAUAACUUUAUCUUUUACUCAAUUUCAAGAUUAAAUAUUUUUUCUACUUUUUGCUACUCCUGAUUCAUAUUUCAAUUUGUUCUUCUACCUUAAAUGUGUUAACUACCUCAACUAUGAGUCGAACCACAAUUUCAUACCUCAUUUUUUAAAUAUUGCAAUGUCAUACCUCAACUUACGAAUUCAUUGCAAUGUUAGACCUCCGUUAAAAAAUUUGUCAAUUGGUCUGUUAAUUGUUGAUAUGGCAGAUAGAAGAUCGAUCCACCAACUACAUUAAAAAAUUAAUUAAAUAUUUAAAAAGUUAAAAUUCUCUCCCAAUUCAAUUCUCUCUCUCCCUUCUCCCAAUCCAUUCCAGGCAUCAUCUCUUUUCCCAAAACCAUCAUUUCAUUCCUUCUCCUCCUCCAUCCCCACCUCCAUCCCAUGCUCUCCUCCCUUCCUCAUCCACCACACUCCACUCUAAUCUUUGCCGCCUCCACCACAUUCCCUUCCACUUCAGUGUACGAAUCAGACACCGUCGAAGCCGACUGUGUUAUUAAACCCAAACUGGAUGACGAGGACAAUGACUCCGAUUGUGUUGUAAUUAAGAAUGAAUUAGAAGACAUCGACGCCAACAAAAAAAAAUUCUCCGUCAAAGGUUAGUUUCCGUUGCCAUGAUUCUCUGGUUCUUGUCUUUCGCUCGAAUGGAGUUCCAUACCAUCCAAAAUCGGUGAAACUAAAAUUCAAUAGGAAAACUCAUUUUCUUGAACAACCAGUAUCUGUUAAAGUCCCACAUCAGUGGUGGGAAAGGAAACUAAGGGGUUUAAAUAUGAUUACUCCACUCUAACUAAUAUUGAGGCAUUUUGUGGUAAAACCCCACACUUGACGGAUUGGACAAGUGGUAAAGUUAGGGAUAGUAUCGGUGUCAUUAGAGUGGGGCGGCCCGACAAUCUAAAAAUUCUAACAUGGUAUCUAGAGCACAGGUUCGAAUCUGAAUCUAAGCGUUGUGAAUUCGCGAAGCAGAGAAAAGGGAAAAUCAACAAAAUACCCUAAUCUCUGAAGGUUCAGUCUCAGAUGGCCGAAGGAGGUGGUGGUGAGCUACGAGCUCCCAUUUUCAAUAGAAGUAACUACGAUUUCUGGAUGAUCAAGCUGCGUACGAUCUUCAUCUCGCAGGAUCUCUGGAAACUAGUUGAAAAAGGGUAUGUAGGACCUGAGAUGGAUGAGAAGGUUGAGAAUGACCUUACAACAGCUAAAAAACUAGCAUUAAAGGACAACGUCACUAAAGAUGCAAAAGCACUGGGACUAAUUCAAAAUGCAGUCUCGGAUGAUAUUUUUCCUCACAUAGCUCAACAGGUAACCUCCAAAGCUGUUUAGGAUAUUCUAAAAUCAAAAUUCAUUGGUGAUAAGAAAGUAAGAUCUGUGAAAUUGCAAUGGCUUAUGAUGGAUUUUGAACAUCUUAGAAUGAAGAAUGAUGAAUCUUUAUCUAUGUAUGUAUCUAAACUGUUUGAGCUUGUAAAUCAAAUGAGGUCAUAUGGGGAAGAACUUUUUAAUCAAAGAACUGUGCAAAAGCUUUUGAUUAGUAUACCUAGGAGUUAUGACUCGAUUGCAGAACUUAUAGAGGAAACCAAAGAUACAGAUACAAUUGGUGUGCAAGAUGUUAUGGGUUCCUUGAAGUCACAUGAACAAAGACUACAAAGGCAUGCUGACUAUGGUUCAGAGAAGGCUUUUUCAUCCCUGAGUAUCAAUCCUAAAGAAGGAUCAAGUUCCUCAUAUGGGGGUAGCUCAAAAUUCAAGAACAACUGGAAAAACAAGGGCAAGAAAAUGGAUGUAAAACCUGCAAAUGUCGCAAAGAAAGAUAAUCAAGGUGAAGGAACAAAGACUUCAUGUGUUCACUGCAACAAAUUGCAUUAUGGAACCUGUUGGUUUAAGGAAAAACCCAAGUGCCAUAAAUGUGACAGAUUUGGUCACUUGGCAAAUGACUACAAAAGCAAAAUUGUCAUGCAGCAAAUUACGCAAAUGAAGUAGAGGAAGAGGGAACUAUGUUUUGUGCAUGUCACUCAACCUCUGUGGUGAAAAAUUCUAGUGUAUGGUAUAUGGAUAGUGCAUGUAACAAUCAUAUGACUGGCCAUGAAUCCCUCUUGAUUGAAGUGAACAGAACGUGAUAGCCGAAGUUAAAAUGGGUACUGGUGACCUAGUUCAAGCUGUUGGAAAGGGAACAUUGGUUAUUGAUACCAUACAAGGAAAAAGAUACAUAAAAAAGGUCAUGCUAGUGCCAGGACUAGAUGAAAACCUCUUAAGUGUAGGCCAAAUGGUUGAACAUGGGUACUUCUUGGUAUUUGGGGAUUAUAUAAUGUAUAUCUUUGAUGACAGAACCUUUGAGAACCUAUUGGCAAAGGUGCAAAUGACUAGCAAUAAGUGUUUCCCUAUGACACUUGAAUAUGGAAAUGAAGUAGCUAAAAGAGCAACUGUUGAAUAAACCACCUAGAACUGGCAUAUGAGAUUUGGGCAUCUAGAUUUCCAAAGUCUAAAAUCUCUGCAACAAAAGGAAAUGGUUUAUGGGCUACAUGAGAUAAAAGAUACAUCCAAAGUCUGUGAAGGGUGUGUUAUGGGUAAAGCUCACAGAGAGGCAUUUGACAAAGAGAAAGCAUGGAGAGCCAUUGUACCUCUAGAAUUGAUCCAUACUGAUGCAUGUGGACCAAUGCAAGUCUCUACCAUAUCAGGGAACAAAUACUUCCUAACCUUUAUUGAUGAUUGCACCAGGAUGUGCUGGGUAUACUCGAUGAAUCUGAAAUAUGAAGUUUUCAAUAUCUUGAAGAAGUUUAAAGCCAUGGUAAAACUACAAAGUGGAUUCAAAAUCUAGAAGUUGAGGAGUGAUAAAUGGGGAUAAUACACCUCCACUAAGUUUUUGAAAUUUUGUGAAGAUGUUGGUUUGGAAAGACAACUCACAAUUGCAUAUUCCCUUCAACAAAAUGGAGUGGCUGAGAGGAAUAAUAAGACAAUUGUUGGGAUAACAAAGGCUAUGAUUCAUGAGAAACAUUUACCAUAUAAUUUCUGAGGUGAAGCAGUAACAACUGCAGUCUACAUUCUUAAUUAAUGUCCUACCAGAUCACUUCAUAAAGUAACACCUUUUGAAGCCUUUAGUGGCAGGAAGCCAGGAGUCAAGCACUUGAGGGUCUUUGGUUCUAUAUGCUACUAUCACGUGCCAAGUCAAUUGAGGCACAAAUUGGAGGAAUCUGCAACUAAGGGAAUCUUCAUUAGGUAUGGGAAAUGUGAGAAAGGGUAUAGAGUGUAUGACCUGCAUUCCAAGAAAGUAAUAUUGUCUAGGAGUGUCAUUUUUUAUGAGAACUCAGCUUGGAAUGGGGAAACACAAAGGGAAAUGCCUAUUUCAGUUCCACUGAAUGUUGAGAUCAAUGAUAGAAUCACUGAGCAAGUGGAAUUAACACCUACUUCAGAUCAAAUGCAAAGUGAGGACACUAUUGGAACACAAGAUUCAGCUCAGGGGUCCAGAAUUCAUCAACUCCUACCUCUACACCGGUUAGGCUAAGAAGCUUGACUAAUAUACAUGCAAGGUGCAACAUAUGCAUCAUAGAACCAGAAAAUUAUCAAGAAGCUGCAAAAGAUAAAGCAUGGCAGGCAACUAUGGAUAAUGAGAUCUCCAUGAUAGAAAAAAAAAUGAAAUUUGGGAGUUGGUAGAUAGACCUACAUCCAAGCCGGUCAUUAGAGUUAAAUGGGUAUAUAAAACCAAACUCAAUCUUAAUGGUUCUAUACAAAAACACAAGGCAAGACUAGUUGCUAAGGGAUAUUCUCAAAAGCCCGAAGUGGAUUUCAAUGAGACUUACGCUUCUGUAGCAAGGAUGAAUACUAUCAGGACGCUAAUAGCUCUUGUAGCCCAAAAAGAUUGGAGAUUGUUCCAACUUGUUGUGAAAUCUGCCUUCUUAAAUGGAACUCUACAUAAUGAGGUCUAUGUAGACCAACCUGAAGGUUUUGUAAUUCAGAAUGCAAAAGAAAAGGUUUAUAAGUUAAGGAAGGCAUUAUAUGGCCUGAAACAGUCACCAAGGGCCUGUUAUGAAGAAAUUGAUGCAUACCUCAUCUUAUGUGGAUUUGAGAGGAGCCCCAGUGAACCUAUAUUUUAUGUUAAGGUAAGAAAUGGUAUUGAAACUAUAAUCAUCUCAAUCUAUGUGGAUGAUAUAGUUUACACAAGCAGCAGUGAAGAAUUGAUGUUAGAAUUCAAGUUUGAUAUGAUGAACAUGUAUGAAAUGACAGAUUUGGACUGCUGCACCAUUUUCUUGGCAUGGGGAUUCUGCAAAGUGAAAAAGGGAUCUUCAUUGGGCAAAAGAAAUAUGCUCUGUCUCUGCUAGACAAGUUUGGUCUGCUAGACUAGUUUACACUAGCUUGUUGAUAUUUUCACUAACGCUCUUCCUAAAGCUCGUUUUUGUUCUCAGAGAUUUCCUUAGUGUGAAAUCAGUAAACAACUUAAGAGGGAAUGUUGAUAGUUAAGUUGUUUUCAUUUCCUUAACUGUCUUUGUAUUGUCUUAUAUAUAUGACAAGUGUAGGGUCUGGAUCCAUGUACUUUUGUAGGUCUUAUAUGUCCUUGUAAUAGCCAUGUGUCAUCAUCAUAUUGAUGACGUACUAUGUAAGGUUAAGAUUGGAUUUAGUGCCUAAAGGAAUGAAAAAGGAAUGUUGGUUUAUGCUCUGCAAUGAAUAAAGCAGCCGCAAUCAUCAAUAUAAACAGAAAGCUUUCCUUUUCCAGAGAGCUCCAAGUUUUCCUCUCUCUUUUUCAUACUUCAAAACUAAAAUAAAAAAUUAAACAUUUAAUCCAUAAACUUCAUUGUAAUGAUCCAAAAUUUUUAUUUGGAAGCUAAAUUCGGUGAUAGGCCAAAAUAAAGUCAUGGUUAAUCUCUACGCUAUUAACCAUUAUAAAUUUCUUUCCUUAAAGAAAUCAAGUACAAUAAUAAAUUUGGGUUAUUUUACGGCUGCAUCUAACCUUCGCAUUAGACUGCCUACGUACCCUAUGAAGGAUCAAGCCAUUCGUAGUUCACAAAUUCAAUUUCUAACUCAUUUCCAAAAUCAACCAAAUGCCAUGGCCGUUCAAUAAUUUAGGGAAAAUCGAUCAUCAAUAUUGGGGAACUACUUGAGCAUAACAUAUUAAGGGAAGUGAAUUUGGAUACCCUAGGUCUCAUUUUCUUAUGUUUCAAGUAAUUCACACCAAUUUCAUAUCAAAUAUAGAUUCAAAAUAUCAAAAUUAGCUUAGAAAGGCAGCGUUAGCUCACUGUCCACGCGGCGCCGCGCGUGGCUGUUUCCUGCGAACGGAAACUCCAAAUUCCGACGAACUUAAAAAAUUACCAAAUUUUACAGGGUUGUAGAGUUCAAUGAGAAGAACAACUUUCAUACCGGGCCGAAGUCCAAUUCGGCUGAGAAGUGGCCGGAAACCCCUCAAAUUGCCUGAACCCUCAAUUUGGGUAGUUGUCGAUUCGCCACCAAAACGAACUCUGACGCCUCAUCCAAGGCUUGGGCCUUGUCCCUGGGGUUGAGAGGAGUCUUUUGGUGAUGGUCAUCGACGACAAUCGUUGUCGGAUUCUCUGAAAAAAGGAUAAAACCACUUGGACACCCGUGGGUUUUGUGGCUUUGAUUUGUGAAUUUGGGUUAGAAAUCUAGAAAUAUAAUACACAAAGACAUUGGGCUCGACGAGAGCUUUCCAUAGACAUGAUGCGAAAUAUAUAAGCACACAAAUUAAACCCUCUUGUUGACAAUUGUAGUAUAUAUGUAAGUAGGGAUCAUUCUAGGCCGGGGAUUAGGAGGGAUUGCUAAAACACUUGAAACUAACUUGAAAACGUAAAACUAAGUUUGGAACACUAAACUAGAUUCAAAGAAUGCAAAACUAGACUCUAAUACACUAAAACAACUCAAAUGACUCAAAACAGCACAAAACAAGCUAAUUGACUCAAAACAAACACUAAGAGUGAAUUUGGACGAAAAUUGGUUUUACCUUGACUCAAAACACUUAAAAACACAAACUAAAAUAGUUUCUAACUAAUAUGACUCAACAAAGUAAAGGGGGAUUUGGUUUUGACGAAUUUGAAAGUAAAACAAACAGACUGUAAACUAAAACAAAGUUUGGAUGAAAUUGGGUAAAUUGGAUGGAUGGUGGGCUAGCUAGAGGGUUCUUCUCCACACAUGAUACACUUGCAUACAAAUCGAUUUCCAGUUGUUUCUUUCAAUAAACCAUAAAUCUCAACACCCCAGAUUAAGUAGGUACGCUUAAAUUAACCCUCAGAUUUUCCUUAUGUCAUUGAAUUGGACGGAAAUAGCUCAUCGCAAUCAAAUUAUUCUUCAAAAGUUCCCUACAUGAAAGCGCAUAAUAGAGAUACAAUCAAAGGUCAUUAAGUUAUAUGAAAAUCAUAAGUAUUGACAAGGCAUUCGUAACUAUGAAAUCGCAUGAUACUUAUGCUAGGAAUUUACUUAACACGAUUGUGACUAGCAACCUCCACUACUUAUGAAUAUAAAUUCAUAACGAUUAGGUGAAACUCCCUUAUAUCCAAGCAUCAGAUUUAUGCAUGAAAAUUAAGUGUGCACUCUCAACCCACAUACACAAACAAGUUUUAAUUCAAACAGAUAAGUAAAUUGAAUUCACAAUUUAUGAAAUUACAAUUGGAUGUAAUCAAAUCAUAUUGCAAGUAUAGUCAUGGUUUCAAAAUUCCCCCUAGCUAAGAGGGGUUUAGUUCCUCAUACUCGCAAAACAAAGAUUAUUGAACUUAAACAUUGAAAACAAAAGAAAGAUUACACCUAAAAACAUUCCAGCAACUCUAACUUGAAUGGCAAGCACGUCCAAGGGCUCUCAUUCUUCUUCUUUGCUACGGCACAAGGUAUGGUUGAUGAUUUUUAUGGUGAAUUGUGGUGGUGGAUGAGUGAUGGGUGAUGAGAGUGUAUGGGUGCAGCAGAGAAUGAAUGAAUUCGUAGAACUGUAUGAAGGGUGCGGCUGGAUGUGUGUAUUGGAGAAUGGAUGGGAAGAAUGAUGUAUUUUUGUGCGGCAAAGGGAAGUAUUUAAGGUUUUAGGAAAUCAAAACCCUAACUUAUUUAGGUUAACAGAAAUUAAGUUAAAACUACUAGAAAAAGGAAAACAAAAUCAGAAAUCAAAGGAAAGAGUAAGGAGAUAUGCGGCAAGGCUUUUAGUUAAAAAGGGAAUGUGAUUUGGUGCAGGAAAUAGGAAAGAAAGGCUCACCCUUGCACGACAAGGAAGAGAAAGGGACAAAGGAGGUGCGGCAAGGGGUUUAGGACUUCUAGAAGUUCUUAUUUAGUGUCUUAAUAUGAUUAGGAGUCUUCUUUGUUGCUGGAACUUAGGGACUUUUAGGUUUAGGGAAGGUUAAAACCAAAGUAGGAAACCUUAGCUUAACAUUCUUUCUUUUUGUAGGAAUCCUUGUGUAAGUAGGAAUCCUCAUUCUUCUAGGAAUCCAUCUUCAAUUAGGAAUCCUAGCACCUUUAGGUCUUCAAUUUCGUCCAUCUCCCUUGCUCCAAGCAUGUGAUAUCCAUUCCAAGCCCAAAACUGCUCCAAAAUGCUCUAAAAUGCACUUUCUUGCCUCCUUAGCCUUUUGGACCUACAAAUACAUGAAAAUAGCUUAAAAUACUAAAAUAACUAAGAACUAACAACAUAAAUGCAAGAAAACAAGCUAACUAAGUCGCCUAAAUAUGCUCCUAUCAAGACACCUGAACCACCUCGAACGGAGGUCGGACGGAGAAGAUAAGACCGGGUCAAGGAACUAGGUCGGGUUGGUUGCACGGAUCUAAAAGGAUUCGUUGCUCCCUCACCUCCCUCUUUUCUCUCCCUUCUUUCUCUACGCAUUGGUCCUCUCCCCUCCUCCUUUUCUCUCCUGCAUCCCUCAUUUUCCCUCUCUCUUACUGCCACCUGGCAACUUCCAACCCCAUUUCUUUUAUUUUUUUUUUCCAAUAACGAAAACAUCUCUAAUUUCUUCGUUUCACGAACGGUUUCGCCUACACACUCGUAGGAUCGAACUCCAUCCAUAUAUGUCAAUAAAUAUAAUAAAAUAUACGAAGAUAAAAUACAUCCUCAUAAAAUUACGUUUAAUAUACGAGGGGCAUUUCCACUUAUUGAUAAAUUUUCUACAUUUUCAUAUAUUUUAAAUUUUCUAGGGUAUUACAUUCAUCAUGGUAUCAGAGCCCACGGUUGCGGGCCCGUGCAAGCCAACGAGCUUGUGUGCAAGCCAAUGAGCUUGUCACCACCGGGAAGGAAACAAGUCUGAGCUCUUAAUAUAGAGACGACCGUUGAGUUCCAAUUGAAAACAAGUGGGCCUAACAUGAGUUGACCUCUGAGUUUCAAUUACCGAUGUGGAUCUCCACAUGUGAACCACUAAAUGAGGUUACACGUGAGGGGGAGUGUUAAAGUCCCACAUCGGUGGUGGGAAAGAAAACCAAGGGGUUUAAAUAUGAUUACCCCACUCUAACUAUUAUCAAGGUGUUUGUGGUAAAACCCCACACCUGAUGGAUUGGGCAUGUGGUAAAGUUGGGGACGGUAUCAGUGUCGUUAAAGUUGGCAAUUCAAAAAUUCUAAAAGUAUCAUUAGCUACCAUGCAUAUACCUCCUUAAUCCACAGCCUUUUUGUGAAUUGAGAAAUUUUUGAUAAACCCUAGAAAAUAAAACCAGGAAUACAGUUAGAGAAUAAAAAAAAUACACAAAAAUGCAAUAGACAAUUGAAUAAUUAAAGAUGGAGGAGGAACCAUCGCAAAGAAAUUUUGUAAAUCCCAUUUUUCCUAUUUCAAACCGGUCGUCGACACCAGCGGUGUCUGAUCUGUGCACUGAAGUGGAAGAGAAAGUGGUGGAGGCAGCAGAGAUUAGGGUGGAGUGUGGUGGAGGAGGAGGGGGAGGAGAGCAUGAGAGGGAUCCCCACCAGAGACGAAUCUACAGAGGGACCUGGAAGGUCCCAGAACCCUCGGCGAUCCCAAAAUGCUGCUUGAAAAUUUUUAGAGGACCAAUCGUACUCGAAUAUGAGGUCUAUGCAGACAGAGCUGCAGGUUACAACUUGCAACGGAGAAGAAAGAAAACAGGGCUUUUUAAAAAAAUUGGUCCAAAAUGCAGGCCAAUUUGUUUUUUUUUUUUAAGCCUACGUUUGUCUCCACCGUUUACAACAUGAUUCCAUAUUCUUUUUUAAGGCCUAGCCCCACAUGGGCCAUCUUUCCAAUCCCGAGAGUCCCUUUCGCUUUUCCUUUCCCCGUUCCUCUGCUUUUCCCCCUAAUCCCCCAUCUUUCUUAUAUUCACCCAAACCUCUAAAUUUCUAAUCCCACCCAAUCCCAUAUUAUAAUUACAUUACUCCAAUAUCAUACCUCCACUUGUUUGUUUCAAUUCUCCAAGCCACCACUGUUUGGUUCCAAAUUUAAGUACGUUUUUUAGUAUUCUAAUCUAAUCUCAAUUAAAUUAUAUUAGAUAUUGGUGGAGAUUUUUAGUCUAUUAUUGAUAUGAUUGUAGAUAUGUUUUAUGUUUGUAUACUCAUUUUAUCAUUGAAAUUUAGAUGGAAUUUUUGUUUAUUGGUUGAUUGGUAUAUGUUUUGUGUUUUUGGUUAAAUGUGUAGUUUAGAAAUAAGAAAUAUGGAAAGAUUUUUCAAGCCAAAGGCAAUAGCACCAUCUACUUGUUCGAGUAUUUCGAGUUCAAGACAAAAUGAGUGUGACAUUGAUUUUAAUAAUCUUGAGAGAGACCCGGGAAAAAGAAUUCGAAUGAAGGAUUAUCCUUCUAAUAUUCAAGAUGAGAUCCGAAGAGCAUAUUUGCAAAUGGGACCUUGUAGGCCUACAAAGUAUGAGUUCCCAUACACUUUGCAUGCAAAGAAAAAGCGACUAUUUGUUGUUUCGUGGUUUGAAGAAUAUGAUUGGUUGGAGUGUGGUAUAUCUAAAGAUGCGGCAUUUUGUCUUCAUUGCUAUCUCUUUAAAAUCAACUUUUCACAAUUAGGAAGCGAUGCCUUCACUGGGGUAGGCUUUAAGAAAUGGAAGAAUGCAAGAAAAUGUUUUGACAAACUUGUUGGUCCUAUUGGUAAUUUCCACAAUAAAGCUAGAGAAGCAGCUAGUUAUCAAAUGAACCAAAAGGCACAUAUUGAAGCAGUUGUGAUCAAGCAGUCAGAAGAAGAGUGUAUGAAAUAUCAUCUUUGCUUGAAUCCAUCAAUAGAUUGCACUAAGUUCUUGUUGCGACAAGGCCUUCCUUUUCGUGGCCACGAUAAAAGUGACACUUCAAAUAAUAGGGGGAAUUAUUUAGAGCUCUUGCAAUUCCUUGUGGAUCAUGAUGAGAAAAUAAAGGAAGUUGUGUUGAAAAAUGCUCCGAGAAAUCUCAAGCUAAUAGCUCCUUCAAUUCAAAAAGAUAUUGUCAACUCAUGUGCCUUCGAAACUAUUAAGGCUAUUAUGAAAGAAGGGAAAGAGAGUAAAUUCUUUUCUAUAAUGGUAGAUGAAUCACGUGAUAUUUCAACAAAGGAGCAAAUGGCGGUGAUUUUGCGUUAUGUGGACAACAAAGGUCAAGUAAUUGAAAGGUUCGUAGGAGUCCAACAUGUUACUGAAACAACUUUAAGUAAACUAAAGGAGUCCAUUGAUGAGUUCUUGAAACUACAUGAUUUGAGCUACUCCAACCUACGAGGUCAAGGUAAUGAUGGGGCAAGGAAUAUGAGAGGUGAGUUCAAUGGCCUUAAAAAAAAAUUAGAUGAAGAAAGUUGUGCAUUCUAUGUUCAUUAUUUUGCUCAUCAACUACAAUUAGCUCUUGUUACCGUAGCAAAGAAAAAGUCAUGCAAGCGUUGUGAUGCACUUAGAGAGAAACAACAAGAAAAUCUCAUUAAAGCUAUUGAAAAUGAUUGUCCUGAAACGGGGCAAGGGUUAAAUCAAGAAACUAGUCUCAAACGUGAUGAGGAUACACGGUAGAAUUCACAUUAUGGUGCUUAGAUUAGUUUGAUUACAAUGUUCUCAUAUGUGGUGGACGUGCUUGACAUGAUUGUUAAAGAUUGCUACAAUGAUAGUGCUGGUGAAGCAAAAAGGUUAUUAAAAGAUUUACAAUCUUUUGAGUUUGUAUUCCUCCUCUUUUUUAUGAAAUCCAUAUUAGGAGUUACAAACGAUUUGUCACAAGCAUUGCAAAAAAAAAAAAAAUCAAGAGAUUGUGAAUGCAAUAGCUUUAGUCCAGACAUGUAAAGAACAACCAUGUUGCAUGAGAAAUGAUGAAAAAUUUGAUCUUUUGGUUGAUAAAGUAUCAUCUUUUUGUGUUGAACAUGAAAUUGAGGCGCCUAAUAUGGAUGAUUUAUAUGUCAUUCAAGGGAAAUCAUUGCGUAAGGCUCCAAGAAAGACCAACCAUCAUCAUUACAAAGUGGAGCUCUUUUUUGAGGUCAUUGAUUUCCAACUUAUAGAAUUAGAUGAUCGCUUCGCUGAAGGUAAUAUCGAAUUGCUUAUUUGCUUGGCAUGUUGAGUCCAAAUGAUUCAUUUGUAGCUUUUGAUAAAGAGAAGCUUGUUCGCCUUGCUCAUAUGUAUCCUAAAGAUUUCACGGAUCGAGAUAGAUUGGCACUUCAAGAUCAACUUGAUAUUUACAUUCAUUUUGUGCAUUCUGAUAAUGAUUUUUCUCAAUUUUGAGGGAUUAAUGAGCUUGCUAAGAAAAUGGUGGAGACAGGGUUGCAUCAAAUAUUUGCAUAUGUAUAUUUGCUUGUUCAGUUGGCUUUGGUUUUACCGGUUGCAACUGCUUCAGUAGAGAGGGCAUUUUCCGCUAUGAAUAUCAUUAAGGGUCCACUUCACAACAAAAUGGGAGAUCAAUGGUUGAGUGACAUCUUAGUUGUUUACAUUGAGAAAGAUGUUUUUUCAUGUAUUGGUAAUGAAGCUAUCAUGGAACAUUUUCAGACUAUGAAACCUCGUCAUAGACGCUUGAAUUAGGAUUUUAUAGCUUGUAAUGUUGUUUUGCACAUGAUUUUUGAAUGAAAUGUAUUAUAUCUAACUUUUCAAUGUUCUUUUUAUCUAUAAAUUUUUUGACCUUUAUUAUUGGGACCCCCCGAGUUUAAAAUCAUGGAUCCGCUGAUCCCCACAUCAUAUUCAUUCAUCAGACAUUGUACAGUCAAUUUUUGUCAGAUACUAUUUGUGUUUAAUUUUAAAUAAAAAAAUCAAAUGAAUUAUGAUCGCAUAAUACACAAUGAAUGGCUAAGAUGUGGGGAUCCUAGUGAAUCUGAAUAGGAUCAAAUUUUCUCAAUAGAGUACCAAACUGGCCUUUGGGCUCCUUAGGCCAAUUUUGACCUAUUAAAAUAUUUUUUAUUUAUUUAUUUAUUUUUCAAUGGUGGUGGCAUUCGAGCACCCUGCUCGAUAAGUUCGAACACCAUUCGAAAUGGUGGAAUGGGCGAACAUUACUCGAUGCUAAAUUGCACUUCUAGGACUAAAAAAGAAUGGCCAAAGAAUUGUCUUUAAAGUUUUCAAAAAAAAAAAAAAAAAAAAAAAAAACAAGAAGAAAGAAUUGUCUUUAAAUGCUGUGUUCUUAUGCGUACAUGAUGAAGGUAAACUUGGGAUAUUUUUGGACUUGUUUCCAGGUUCCUUAGUAUGUCAUUAGUAGAAACUAUUGUAAUGGUUAAUGUACCAAAUAAUACUUUGUGGUUCCUAGUAAUUGAAUUGUUAGUUGUGAUGCAUUUAAACUAAUGUCAUUAGUAGAAACGAGCUUUCAAUGACUUGAGCUAUGAAACCCCUGUUGCAAUGUGAUUUAGUAGUAAUGCUAGAAUUAAUGUUCCAAUAAAAGGCUAUAUUUAACUUGGAACCCUUUGAAUAUUGUCUUACAAGAGCAUCUUCAAUGAAUAGAUACAAAUUUGUGAUGCGAAAAUCAUAUUAAAUUUCACUUUACAUCUUCGGACGAUGUAAAUAUGAGUUGUACGCAAAUGGGAGAAUGUAAGUUGGGAUCUAAACUUUCUCUCUUUGAUUGACAUAUCCCACCUCCCAAAGAAGUAAAAAAAUAUAGGGCAAUUAGCUGGAAUGAUCAGUUUUUGACAUUUGGUUGUAGAUUUGAUCAAUUUUAUCCAUGUCAUCAUUAUAUUAUCAUUGUGUGGUCAUUAUGUCAUUGAUAUAUGACCAAUAUGUCAUCAUUACUAAAAACUGGUCAUUCCAGCUAAUUGCCCAAAAAUAUAUGUAAAUAUAUAUUUUUGUUCACAUCUUUCAGCGAAGAUGGAUUAUAUUCGCCUUUAUAGAACUUUCAGGAUAAAGAAAAUGUAAAAUCCUCAAGACACCUUAAAUCUUCCAUUUCAGGGCAUUUUACAUUUUAAAUUCUUGUGUAGAUUUCUUUGGGAAAUUGGCCAAUUAUGCUCAUUUUUCAAAUCUCAACUGCUAAAAUGAUCAGUUUUUCAGUAUGUCAUCAAUAUUUGAUGGUUAUAUUAUUAAUUUUUAUGGCUAUAUUAUUGGUAUUUGAUUGAUUUUUCCUCAGAAUUUGAUUUGAUCAGUUUAACAAUUGGAAUUUGAUUAUAUCAUACCGACUUGAUGAAUGUCUCCCUUUCAAAUUGAAAGCCGUGCUCUUGGCCAGCUAGCCCUCUACACCAAAAUUGGAACGAGUCCUCACAACUAUUCAACGAACAAGUCCAAAGAUGGGGAUGUUGGUUUAUGACAAGAAGGCCAAAAGCUGUCUUUUUCUUUGAUGAUCUAUAUAAUUGUGAGAGUUCGUUAUGCUUAUGCAUCAUCACUUGAUCGAUUUAGAUAAACAUCUAACUGAAACCACAAAACACCAAUCAGUCAUUCUCUCACUCGAACCCUUCGUCUAUCGAACAAUUAAUGCACCCAGCGGCAACUAAAACUACAACACAUUCAUUUCAUCCACCUGCCUUCUCUCAAAUAUUCAAUCAUGUCAAUGCAUUGUAUUGCAGCCAGAAGAAUCGAUCAGCCAUCUUUUUCUCAACCCUAGAAACUUAUACGAGAGGAUAACCCUUGCGCGCGGACGUGACAGUGGUGUAUCACCUAUCAUUGUCUCUUGGAAACUAAAAUAAAUAAGGCAAGGGACCAGUAAUACAAGCGGCAUUAGUUUUUUGCAUCUUUACAUUUGAGUUAUUCCGAUUGAUGCGUGAAUUUAUCAUGCGUUUACUGACACAUACAAAUUCAAAAGUAUGUAAGUUCCGCAUUUCCGUAAUCCAGUACCUGAAAAAUCAAGAUCGAAUUAGGCUGAUUAGGAGUUGUAGUUGAUCUCAUACCCUAACCUUCUCUCCACUAUUCGUGACUUCUCCGAUUCACGACUCUCCAUAUUAAGUAAGUAAACGUUUAAUUAGUUAUAAGAAAGUAAAACGAGCUUAAUCACCAUUAUCCAUCACACAAGAAAAAAACAGAUUUCAUACUACCACCAUAUAAUUAGGCCCUACUACAGCUAGAACAAUUUAGUACCAGUGAAAUGAUACAAGGUUAUUAUUGAUCCACUUCAAUCUCAGGUUGUGGAAUUGAAAUUUCAUGCAUGGUGGAUACUGGAGAGUUUGCUUGGCUAGCAAGUAACACUGCAAGAGUAUGACUGGGUUAUUAAGAGAAUUAAUUUUUCUGCUGGUUGGUGUCAGAGUGUGUAUGUGUGUAUGUGUGUAUGCCGUGGGUGAGAGGUCAUGUGCUGUUUUCGAAUUUAUUGAGAAUACCUAAUAUGAAGAAACCACAAGCCAAAUCCACUGUAACUGUACCUCUGGGCAUCCUUUUUUGAAAGGCAUCCUUUUUUGAAAUUUUAAUUUCUCCUUCAUACGAUUACAGGAAAAGAAAAAAAAAGUUUUAACAAAAAGCCCACGGUACUGUUCACUUUAACGAAAAACCACAUUUUAACACUAAAAAGUCAAACCUAGUACUAUUCAUUUUACCCUUUAUUUUGUCCUUAUUGUUAAAACUCAAAGUUUUCAAGCCAUUUUCAUUAGUUUUCCUAAAAAAUUAAGCAAAAUAAUUGAAUCACUCCAUAUUUAAUCUAAAAUUUUUAUUCUAUCCAAUUUUUAAUGUGGUGUGGUAUAUAGGCAAUAAUCAAAUUGAGAUGUUUGAACAUUUGAAAUGAAGACAUAGGAGUGGCUGCAAACGAAGACCUAAGAAUGGCCGAAUUGAAGAUAAGAUAAGUGCAAAUCGGUUAAAGUGGUUUGGAGCCUCCAAUUAAAUUUAUUCUUGAGUCAACCUUCUCAGUCUUUAUUUGCUCAUGGCUCUUGAUUUUUUGUUCCAUGCACAGAUUUGUCAUGUGAAAUAAAGACAUACAGAUGCGCUGGUUAGAAAAUGAGAUUAAGAGAUAGAGACUCAGGGCAUAAGGGUAGAGGAAUACCUAGGAAGACAUUGGAAAAAAAACUUUAAGGAAAGAUAUGAAGUACUUGGAGCCAGGAGCAGAUCCACUAUUGGACCUGGGUAGUCCUAGGACCAUUUGGACGUCCGAAGAAGCGCCUCUGGAAACCUCUAAGGACCACCCAAUGGUCUGGACAUGUGGUAGAAGAGAGAAGACCACCAUGGCUUUGUUCUUGGACCUUGGUUACAACAAACAAGAUGGACUUUUCCUCUCCAUUUCCUACGUGACGAAUUCUCAUUUUUUUUAAUUGUUGUCCAAUCAGGUUGUGCCACCCUAGCAUUUUAAUUAGCAAAGGGAUGAUGUAUUAAUCAACCAAUAUAUUUAAACCAUAUGUUUGACACCGUUAUUUUUUUUUUAAUUCCCUGUAAAUUCAUACGACCCCUGAAAAGUAUUUCGUAGAGUAUUAUGAACUCGUAGUCGCUUACACUGGCAUCUCAUACAAUCAAAUUCACUAAAAUACUAAAACAAAAAUUAUGAUAUUUUUGUAUGUUGUAUGUUGAAUAAUAAACCUCGAAUUUGCUUAGCCCACCUAUGCAUUUGCCUAGACCCCGUCUAGGUGUAUAGGCACCCCAAUCCGCUGUCGGACUAGCACCUAACAUCCCUUGAUUAGGACCACCCGAAGUUAUAAUCAUGGAUCAGCCACUGCUUGGAACUAAAGAAAAACUAAAUGCAAAACUGAGUGCAAUGAUGUUCUAGGAUUUGUACAACCAACCAUACUUAGUAGGAUAAAAAUUUGUUGUUGUUGUUGACCAAGCUGACACGUACAAUCGAUGAAGAGGUCAAGUCUAUUUUAUAUAGAUGAAAACAAUAAAUUUAUACCAACCCAAAUAGUUAUCGAGACCAAAAGUAGAUGUUUAUGUACCAAAUAAGAUGAUUUUUGUCACCUAAUCUGAAAAUUUUGGAGAUUAAACUUAAAUAUACUGAAUGCCAAGUGAAAGACAAAGCUGCCUCUUAUAGGUCAUGUAUACACAGAUCAAAUCGUUCCGUUGUGUGUGUGGGUGUUUUUAAGCUUAACUGGGGGAUGUUGUAAAAUAAUUUGGGAUCUAAGCUAACCAGAAGUACGUAGUUAAUCUUAUGUGCCAAUGAUCUUCAGAAUUCUAGUGCAGACCGGUAAUCCAUCAGGAUCGAUGCAGAUUGGUGAAAGAAUUCUAUAGAGAAGGAGAUUGCAGAAUGAUGACAGAGAAUUUCGCCUCUAAUCGCAGAGUUAAUUUGGUUUAGUACGAUUCCCACCAGAGGAGAGCUUGUAAAAAUCAGUUAGACCACCUCAAAUUAGACAUAAACAACGGGUUAAUACAAUAGAUAACACAUACCUUAUAUUACAACCCUUAUUUUGAUUCCAUUAAUAGCAAAAGUACACAGUAAUACACUGCUGAAUACAGAUAGACAGUACUUAAAUAAGGGAUACUACUAAAAAGCAAUUAAUAUUAUUUCACUAUAUACAUGCAUGCCAGUAGUCUUUUGUAAUACCAUAUAUAUGUAGAAUAUUAUUAGAAAUCGUAGCAAUUAAGCUACUAGCUAGGGUUUCUCAUUCGUAUUGUGAAGGCCAAAGGAAGGCUCCCAUGGCAAACUUCCUCUUCUGGUUGACAUCCCCAAUGAGUGGGAGGCCGUACUGCUUCAUAAGGCAGUCCAGUUUCCAUUCAGGCAUGCUCUCAUAGUCACUCUUCUGGUACCUUGGGUAGUGCAGAGGCAUCUGGAAGUUGCAUGGGGUGUUGUUCUUGCUAGUUUGCUCAUUUACUUGGAGACCGCCGGGCAUGGUGAAAGCGUGGUUGCUAAAGCCAGUUCCAGUGGUACUCAUCUUCUCAAAUAUGUUGAGAAAGCUGGUAACUCAUGCAGAGUUGCUAACUUGGUAGUUGGUGUUGCAAAGUUGGCCUUUUAUAGGCAUCCCAAAGAGCAUGAUAGUGGAAGAUUACUCGAGUAUGCGCUUGAAGAUAAGACAGAGCAAUCAAGAAAACAUUUAAUGCGAUGAAAGCUAAAUCACAUUGAAGAAUGUGUGGUGACAAACUUUUGAGUGUUACACAUUCAUACUAUCAUGUGGUGUUAGCGAAAUACGUAUUAAUAUAUAUAUAUAUAUAUAUAUAUAUAUAUAUAUAUAAUACGUGUUUCAUAUUUAUAAAUCAUAGAUAAAAAUUCAUAUUUUAUGACUCAUGAAAAUAGUAUUAACAAAUAAUAUAUGUUAUACAAUAUAAGUAAAUUAAAUCAUGUGACAAUAUUGUAACCCCCACAUCAAAAAGAUUACUGAGCCAUCUUUUGGUAGAUUUUCAUGACGAAGGUAAACUUGGAUAAAUUUGGAUUCUAGGCCUCGUUUGAUAUUUAGGAUUGGGUUAGUUUGGACAAUCCAUUUCAAUGAAAGUUGAACAAAAAUAGGGAUGCCAACUUGCAUAUUUUGUUAAAUGAAGGUAGAAGAUGGAGAAAUCAUGAAGAAAACUUAUCCCUCAAAAUCCCCACAAAAAUGGUAGAAUUGAGAGGGCCAAAUUUGCUUCAUGACUUUUCUAUCUUCGACCUAGAGUAGACGGACGUUGGUUAGGUUUGAGAAGAUGAGUUUUUGGAAGAAAAUAUUUUAGGGAUAAAUUUGGGAUUUUCUGGAUCAAAUAUUUUAGUUUGGUGUAUUAAUUUAUUUAAAAAUUGGGUGCCAAUAGAGGCACCUGAAAAUUAUAGUUAGCAAAUAAAUUAUUGGACCAAAAUACUUUAUGGAACCGUUGAAUACAUGGUAAUAUUGUCAUUUGCCAAGGUGGAAGGAAUUAGUUGUGAUGUAUCUAGUGUUCCAAUAAAAUUGAUAUUGAGGAGGGAGUAAUUGUUGGAAUCAAAUUUGUGCACUAUCAUGGAUGGCGGAGGCACAAAUUAGAGUAACAUUUAAAACAGAAAAAACCGUGAGCAAGUCUAAGAUAGGGUGAGUUGUGUGUGCCAGCCAAAGGAUCUCUAACGAUCAGGUUAGUAAGCAAGUAUAAGACUAAAGCAACGGGUAAGAGAAUUAGAGAGCGAUGAUUGUGCUACCAGAGAUGAACCCUGUGUGUAUUUAUAUCAGUCGAGAAAGAGACAUUUUUAUGAUAGAAUCUUUGUGCUAAGUUGAGAGAAUCUUAGAGGAUAUCUAGAAGUAAAUAUUGUCAUCCUCUUAGAAUGUGAUUACUUGUGGCGCACGCCAAUUCCUAGAUUGUAGGAACUGUAAUACAUAUAGAGAAUAUGGUUGAUUCUGUGCUGGAUCAUAUCCUCUUAUCUUGAGGAACAAGCAUGGUCAUUCUCAACGAAGUUGCUGAAACUUCACUCACUGCUCUGGAAUAGGAUGAUGGUGGUACCACUGCUUCGUUUGAUUUAGCUCCGCUCGGAGCUGUUGAGUGCAUGAUCAGACUCCUGAGGUAAUUGUAUUCUAAUUAGCCUUAUUCGGCCCUGGAAAAUUAUAUAGUCCAACGGUAAUUAUAAAAAAAAAUAAAUAAAAAAAAAACCUCAAGAAUAAGAGCAAGCAGAUGAUCUCAAUCACUUGAGUAAUUGGCCCUUGCUGAAAUGUAUGUAGUUGUAAUACCAAGAUGCUAAUAAUGCCAAAAUAUCCUGAUAAUGCUACUAAAUGCCAACAAAAUGCUUUUCCGAACAAUUCUGAUAUAUUUUCUUCCCUGAUAUCAUAGCAACUUGAUCAAUGUCCCUCUUUCAAUAAAUCCCUGGCCUUGGCCAGUUGUUCCUCUAUGCCAAAAUUGGAAUAAGUCCUCACAACUAUUCAAUGAUCAAGUGCAAAUGUUGAGCAUAUGUCGCCCAAUGAUGAGGAUGCCAAAGCUCCAGUCCAUUUUUAAUGACAUAUAAUUGUUAUAGCUAGUUAUACUUAUGCAUCACUUGAUGAAUUCAGAUAAACAACAGCCAAUCAAUCUCACUCAAAUCGUUAAUUUGUCUAUCGGAAAAUCAAUGAAGCGCAACAACAUUGCAUUGCAUUGCAGCCAGAAGAAUCGAUCUGCCAUCUUUUUCUCAACCCUAGCAAUUUGAAUCGAUCUGAGUGGAUAAACUGUGUGCGUGCUCCCGGACGCAAGAAAAUGAUCUAUAAUCUAUGAUCUAUCCUUGUCUCUAGCAAACCGAAUCGAUUAAGGCAAAGGGACCCGAAACACAAGUGGGCUUAACUAGUUAUAAGAAAGUCAAAGUAUUUGGAUGUUCACAACGAUCACCAGAUCAUGAAAAGACAUAUUUCAUGCUCAUUAGGGCAGCUGGAGCAUUCUAGUUCUACGAGUGAAAUGAUACAAGGUUAUUAUUGAUCCACAUCAAUCUCAGGUUGUGGAGUUGAAACGUCAUGCAUGCAUGGUGGGCAUGGGAUUGCAGGAAGGUGACUGACUGGAUAAAAAUGAAAUAGAAGGGUACUGAUUAUUUUCUGUGUCCGAAUUUGUGUGCCGUGGAUGAGAGGUCAUGUGUUAUUUUCAUAUUUAUUGAGAAAACCUAAUGUGAAGAAACUUCAUGCCAAACCCACUUCACCUAAGAUGGCAUCUAAUAGGAUUUUCACCAUCUGCAUACUCAGGGUUAAAUCCCAUAGAGUACUUGCAAGAGAAUAAAGUUAUUGUAGUAUAACGGCUCAAGCAAAGACGAUCUUCAUAGAAACUGAGAUGAAUAUUUUGUGUUUAAGUACAAUUCUUAUUUAACUAUUUAAUACAAGAUUAAGAAAGAUGAGAAUAUUGAAUAAAAGUAACAAGUGCAAAUAAAGAGAAAUAUUACAAGCUAAAAAUAAUAAUUGUAAAAAUAGCAAUCCAAAAAGUUUAAUAAGCAUUAGGGUUCAGCCGUCACCAGUAAAAAUCCUAUGUAGUUCUAUUAAUUACUUUUGCGUCAACACAUGCAAACUUUCAGCUUAGGUUUUCCUUAUGCAUAUUCCACUCGUGACAUUCAAGUUAGAACGUAUAUCCAAUAUGCAAUGCGUAAUUUGACAUUCACAUAAAAAAUCAACAUGCAAGACUCGUUAAAUUUUGUGAGAGCCUUAUAAAAAACCAGGGUAACCUUAAGAGCAUGACACUCACGUGAACAUACAAUUUCCAACCACAAGAAGCAUUAACCAAUUUCAGGCUGACAUUCCAAUAGGAAUUGCAUCCGAUUACUUGUCUAAACAUCUUAAUAGCGAUAAAGUGUUAAGACAUAAAGAUAGUUUAAAACAGUGAUUGAAAAUUCAAAGUAAGCAUAUAUAACAAUAUAAGUAAGUUAAAAAGAAACUAUAUAUUCAUGUUAAAACUCGUAACCUCGCCCAAGCAAAAGAGUUAAUUAGAAAUAAAACAUAAUGGAAUAUCAAAAGUUUUCUUGUGUUGGGAUCAAUAUUCUAACAAAUGCAAGGCACUAGUCGAGCGAUGGGUUGGGGCUAGGCGGGAGCCUAGGCGGAUUUGAAUAAUUUAUUAUAUAUUAUAUAAACUAAUUAAAUUUGAACAUUAAAUAAUAUGUUAUUUUUCAAAAAGGUGAGAGUUUUAGCCUUUUAGGUACAUAAUAAAAAUAUAUGUGGUGUGAUCUUAAAUAGGGUAAUAAAACCCCAUAAAAACAAACAUAAAAAAGUGACAUUUAAGAGAGAAAAAAAUAGUAAAAAAAGAUGGUGGGACCAUCUUAAGAAAAAUCAUGCAAUUAAAAAUUUUAAAUGAUGUUGGGAAUAGGGUUGUCUCCUUCCUUGCACGAGGUUGACUCUGCAACAAAAGAUUUCCAAAUUCCGACGCUUACAUAUAAUCCCGCCUAGCUUCCGCCCAUCCCAGCCUAGACUUGCCUAACUCCACUUUAUCCGGCCUGGGCGUCCGCCCAAUGUGCUUUCCGAUUUUGUGGCUGAUCAUGAGUUAAAUCGCGGCAGCCUACUUGAUCUAGCACCUAGGCAGCCGCCUAGGCUAAUUUUUUGAACACUAGGUGGGAUCUUAGUUUAGUUCGUUGAAUUCUGGUAAAGCGGACACUCUCCAAACUACAAGCACUGGGUAGAGACAAGAUUCUAUAUUUCAAGGAUAUUGCGAUACACAAGUCUCGAACUUUAUUCCAUUUGUUUAAUUUCAGUUUGUUUUAUUCAAAUUGUAUCCAUGUAUAUAGUUGUAAUUUAUUGUUCAUUAGCAUAUAAUUUUGGGUACAUAUAUUUCAAAUUUAUUUCUGCAAUAUAUUAAAUUUGUGAUUGAUUGUUGAUACUUAUCUAACAUCUUGAACACGUGCUUCAUAAUGAUCAUCUCGGUUGAGGUAUAUUUGCAACCAACAAGUAAUUGUGUACACAAAGAUGGUUUUCAUCCAAUAAAAUUGGGAUUCAAGUCAAAUUUUUAAGUUGUGCUCAUAGUUACCGCAGUUUCGGUCACUUUUGGGGGACAAUAUUCUCGACGUUAGGAGGAGAAAUGAUAGUUUUCAAAGAACGCCGAGAAUUAGCGUUGAUACAUGUGCAUUUGUCUCAUCCAAACUAUAUAUGAGUUAGAAGGGACUAUGAUGAUUAAUCUAUUGCAUGCCUAAAGCAUGACAGAUAUAUAAGUUCUAAACUUUGAACUCUCUGUAAGUGGAGAUUAAUUAAGUUCAAGUCCUAAUUGAAAAUAACUCUCCGUAGGAGGGCAUAUCCAAGUAAUUCAUCUUAAGAUAUUUGUCCUAGAUGUAACAAUGGAAGCCCCAAAGAGUCAUUGUACCCAAGCAAUGGAAUACUUAUAUAUUAAGCAUGCCAAUGAGAAUUGUUAGGUCACAAAUUGAUGAUAAUCAAUAAUUAUUAUAAUAGCUAAUCAUAUCAUGAAGGACUAUUUAGUCACGUUUUCCCAAAAAUAUCGACAAAGUAAAGGGUGGCCAAAACUAGAAAGAGAUAAUUCCAUUUUGAGCCACUGAAAAACGUGAAAUCAAUGAACCUAUAAUUUAAACCCCAAAUUUAUUCUUGCGUGUGUGUAAUAAAAAUAAAUAAGCCCACUAAUAUGGCAUAAGACUUUGUAAUAUAUUUCAUUAUAGAUGCAAUCACAUUUCUAGAAGUACAGUGUUAAUUUAGACGUGAGACUUAUCACUUUGUGGAGAUUGCAUACUAACCAUUUGAGAUUUUAUCUCUCAAAGUAAUUCUUACAGUAUGAAAAUGCCAUGAAAUUCUUUAUCAAAGUUCUCAAAUGAAGUUCCUAAAUUUAUUUGAUUACAUUAAUGCAAGACUACAGUUAAAAAUUUAUAAUGUAUUGUUGAAUACUUUAGAAAUUGUAGUAAAGCUAGUGUUUCUGCUACUCUCAUUCAUGCUGGGAAGGCCAAAGGAAGGCCCCCAUGGCAAACUUCCUCUUCUGGCUGACACCUCCAAUGACUAGGAGACCGUACUGCAUCAAAAAAUAGUCCAGUUUCCACUCAAGCAUGCUCUCAGAGUCUCUCUUCUAGUAUCUUGGGUAGUGUAGAG
Molecule: long non-coding RNA, 60152 nt
Filed under: Malus domestica (apple)
Lineage: Eukaryota; Viridiplantae; Streptophyta; Magnoliopsida; Rosales; Rosaceae
Description: long non-coding RNA (MDOM_LNC014091)
Source: RNAcentral